RNAcentral lists this long non-coding RNA (88553 nucleotides) under Fragaria vesca (wild strawberry). RNAcentral describes it as "long non-coding RNA (FVES_LNC003375)". The record is from RNAcentral. Lineage: Eukaryota; Viridiplantae; Streptophyta; Magnoliopsida; Rosales; Rosaceae.
GAUUCAGACCAAAAGCUGAAAUUUUCUGGGUUUUCAGAUUUUUGCUUCAACUUUGAGAGAGCAUAACUUCCUAUCCACGGCUUUGUUUUCAAAAUUAAGCUAUGUACUUAAAGCUUGUAAUCCUAUCUUUAUAAUAGGCUUUGGUACAUAAACUUUUGUUGGAUUUGAGUGAGUGGAAAAUGAAGCCAAAAACCACAGCUUACUUAUUGUUUGGGAAGCCAUGGCUGGCCAGAGAGAGAGAGAGAGAGAGGUGGGGUGUUAAAUGGAAUUUCCAGUUGAAAAAUAUGUCCAGUCAGCAACUUAACCACUGAUUUAGACGGCGACUUAACGGAUGGACCUAAUUGUGUGACAUUGGAUAGUUAAUGGAGUAAUCGAUUGAAAUUGAAAGUUAAUGGAGUAAACUGUCAAGCGCAUGAAAGUUAAUGGAGUGACAAGUAAUUAGUUCUUUAAGAAAAGCCUAUCCGAUCUCUUCACUGGAACUAGUUGACAUUCCAAAGUUGGCCCAGACAGAUUCAUGUGAAGAACUUAAAGAAGCAAGGGUAAUCCUAUUUUGAGGCUUGCAGCCAAGCAAAAACUAUCCUUUUUAUUUUGUGCCUAAACCCAAAGUUCUUCCCACAGCCCCAUAGAAGAUACAAGUUACAACACACAAUGUGCGAUGCUUGAAUGUUUGCUCCUCCUCCUCUUCCUCUUCAAUGAUUCUUCUAAGUUAAAAAAUUGGCUUUUUGUGUGCCAUGAUAAGUUUGUGAACAUCCUUAGAAUCAUAUAACCAAGGUUUAAACAAUCUUAGAAAAGAGGAUUUAUUCAUAUCGUGAAACUACACUUUCAAAUGUAUGUAAAUAAGAGAGCAUUCAACUAAUACAUGUUAAACAAAAAUCAUGAUUUGUGACAUGUUAUACCAAGAUAUUUUAUCAACUGAACAUCUUCAUCUCUUAUAAGGUUUAAGUUUUAUGACAAAAUGUUUCGGUAAAGAUAUUGACUGUGAAUGUUUAAUUCCAGUUGCAGAGGCUCUUGCGUUUUGUGACAGCCUUGUAUAUGCCAAAGCCAAUGGCAUACCAGAUUGGAAGUGGAAGGAGACUCCAAGAUAGUCAUUGAUGCAGUUAAUGAGGUCUUUGAUCCUCCAUGGAGACUUAUUAAAAUAGUAGAAGACAUCAAAUCAGUAGCGGCUCAGUUUGUGUUCAUCUCUUUUAGACAAGUUUUUAGGGAGGCAAAUUUUGUAGCUGAUGCAAUAACACAUCUACGUCAUUCUUUGCCCAAUGGUAAUACUUGGGUGAAUAGAGUUCCUAUUGAAGCUACUCAUGUUCUUGUAUUUGACAUUAUAAACUCAAUUAUUUAAUUUUAAGUAUUUUUUAUAAAAAAAAAAAGAUAUUAACUGUGAAUCACCUUAUAAGUGAUAUUUUAUUCAUCGUUCUUGAAACGUGACAUUUUUUUUUCUCUAACAAUGAUUUAUUUGAACCUCAAUUUUACCCUAACUUGAAUAUCAUAUGAAUAUUAUCGAAUAUCUCAAAGGAAAGUGUCUCAAAAAUAACCAAUCCAAUCUCUUCGUCCAAGCUAAAAUCAAAUGCGAUUCGCUGGUUCAUACCACACUGCUCUUCCCACACUAUUUGCAGUCCCACAAAGAUCACCUCAUCCGAGCCGUCCACUCUGUUGACUGACACAUCACAACAGUCAAAAUCCAAACUCACAACUUCCAACAACACCAGAGACACAGUGCAAAGCCCAUUUGAUCCGGAAGCCAUUAAACACAGCAAAGAUUAAAGAACACCCACCUUUUCUGCUCUUAAAUCCAAAACCCAAAACAGAAAGAGCAACCAUUUUCUCAAAAACCCCAGGAGGGUCAUGAUCGUAUGCUGCUGGGUGCAUCGUAAUCGACGCCAUGAUCAACACCGCCAACGGUAUGAUGUCGUCAACGGCUUCUUCGUCGGCGGCCAACAACAACGCCCAGUCGCCGGGGCUAAAGACCUAUUUCAAGACCCCUGAGGGAAGGUACAAGCUUCAAUACGAGAAGGCUCACCCUUCCGGCCUUCUUCACUACCCUCACGGCAAAACUGUCACUCAGGUUAAAUUUUCAUUACCCAUUUUGUUAAUUUUACUUAUUUGAAGCAUUGGUUGUGUAAAGAUUGGAUUUUUCCUUUUUGGGUUUUUGAUUGUGAUGGGUUUUUAGGUUUGUGUUAGGAAGAAUUUAGCAUUGGGUGGUUUUAGCUUUGUGGGUUUUGCUCAAAAGUGAAAUCUAGUGGUUGAAAGGAGUGUUGUUAAUGUUGGAAGUGUGAGGUAUUUAAGGACCAAGAUUUUUUUUUUCGAUUACAUUAUAGGUGAAUUUUGGCUUUCCGUGUUUCUUAUUUGGUAUUGCUACAUUGUCUUGUAGUUACUUCUGGUAGAGUAAUUUUCGAGGAUUAUAAGUUGAUAGGGAUGUUUCAGGUUUGUAUUGAAACCUGUACAUUAUGAUAUAUGAGCUUAGUGUUGGCUGUUGAUUAUCAGGUAACGUUAGCGCAUCUUAAGGACAAGCCUGCCCCAACAACCCCGACUGCACCAUCUUCAAGCUUUAGUACUAGCAGUGGUGUACGGUCAGCUGCAGCAAGGUUGUUGGGUGCUAGUAAUGGGAGCAGGCUUAGCUUUGUUGGAGGGAAUGGUGUGAGUAAGAGUGUUAGCGCGAGUAGUAGAGUAGGGUCUUUGGUGGCUUCCAGUUCAAGUAAUUCAACUUCUACUUCCAACUUUGAUGGGAAAGGUUCUUACCUGAUCUUCAAUGUGGGAGAUGCAAUCUACAUUAGUGAUUUGAAUACUCAAGACAAGGUAUUCUUGGACUUAUUUGUUGUUGUUUAGGUGAUGGAGUUGGUUUAUGAUAGGUUUCUUGUUGCUUGCAGGAUCCAAUAAAGUCUAUACAUUUCAGUAAUUCGAAUCCCGUGUGCCACGCAUUUGAUCAAGACGCCAAGGAUGGUCAUGAUUUGGUUAUUGGAUUGAACUCUGGCGAUGGUAUAAAUGUUUGCUAGACUCUGAAAUCAAAUCUUGUCUUUGAAAUUUCAAAUUCUAAAGGUUGUAUAAAUGCUCUUGUAGUCUACUCAGUGUCACUGAGACAACAAUUACAAGAUGUCGGAAAGAAGCUGGUUGGGGCUCAGCAUUAUAACAAAGAUGGUUCUGUUAGUAUUAGGCAAGUGCAAAUUCUUUUCUUUUGUUUGUACUUGAUUUCAAGCUGCUUCCCAGAGAAUGCUAUAUGUUAACAUUUCUUGCUUGUGUUUGUCAUUCCUUAAUAGACCUCUUUUGAGAGUUGUGAGAUGGUUUGACUUCUUUGUACAGUUUUGUGGAAUAUAUUGCCUAAUACACUGUUUUCAACAGCCGUUGUACUAGUGUUGCAUGGGUUCCUGGUGGUGAUGGCUCUUUUGUUGUUGCUCAUGCUGAUGGGAAUCUGUAUGUAUAUGAAAAGGCGAGCUUCUAUUAUCUAUAGAAAUACUUUUCACUGCCUUUACUUUAAUAUUCCAUGAUUCUUUUUUUGGUUUCAAGUAAUCUGAGAUUCUGAGUGUGCUAUGUUUUCGUUGUUUUUUCAAUAGAGCAAAGAUGGUGCAGGCGAUACUUCAUUCCCUGUUAUAAAGGAUCAAGCUCAAUUUUCUGUUGCACAUGCACGUUACAGUAAGGUAUUGAGUUGUGCUUGUUUUCUUUUCAAAACACACGUUGAUGUUUCUUCUACAAGGUAUUCUGUUAAUUGAUAAGGGAAUGAUAUAACACAGCUGCUAUAUCACCAUGGGGAUUAGUAUUUCAAGUUUUAAAGUGAAUGGCACAAUGCUCUUAUACUGGUGUCACAGAUUGUCCACAUUUUGAUACAAGUUGCUUUCACCAUGGUCUUUGGGUAAUUUUAUACAGCGAAUUCCUAGUCUAAUAAGGGCACUUUGCUGGACUUGUGACUACUCAAUCUUCACUCUGUUAGUUGUUUUAGUUCAUAUAACAGUUAUAAUUGUUUUCAGCUAGGCUCUCUCUCUCUCUCUCUCUCUCGCUUGAUCUACAUCUCUAACGUUUCUCCCAAACCAGAAUCAUUAGGAGGUCUUGUGCCGGCUGGAUUUACCGUUUGUAACCCAAUUGGAUGCCUCUAUUAGAAUCUAGAAACAUAUGGAUUUAGGAUGAACCACAGAAUUCGAUGCUAAGAUAGGCUAUAGAUUAAGUAUAUUGUCACGUGAUCUUUGUCCGUUACAUUGGUGAUAGUUACUGAAGUUCAUACAUCCAGAAGUGACAGGAGUUUGUCUACACAUUCAUCUUUUAAGGUCGCAGCACUAGGUAAAUUUGAUUGAAAGGUAGAGCAUGGAAGCUGAGGUCCUUGACUAUAAAAGUGUAAAAAUAUUCCCUUCUCAUUAUAUGUUAGUGAAGAUGCAUGGUGCAUAAUUUAACUUGGAGCUGGGAAAUUAUCAGUGGUUGUUUAAAUAACCCUUUUUUUUUUAGGCUAGUAGAUCCUCUUACUUUUAACAGAGGGUAUUGUGGUUGAGAUCUUAGUGUUUAUAUGUGGUGUGCUGGAAUGUUUUUCUUGUGACUUGGCUGAAUAACUGCAGUUGCAUGUACAAAACGACUGAUAAAUAUUAGAUAAUUUUUUGGAUAUAUGUGAAUCGGACAUGCUGAGUUUAUACUUCUGCUUCCUUCAGCACUGAGAUUAUUUGUUUUUUGACUCCUACUAUGCUUGUGCAGAGUAACCCAAUUGCCAGAUGGCAUAUAUGCCUAGGUUCAAUCAAUAGUAUUGCUUUUUCAACUGAUGGAGCGUAUUUAGCAACUGUUGGAAGAGACGGUAUAAUUUCAAUAUGAUGUUGUUUGCAUUGCCCAUUUGCUCUGUUUUAUUAGUUUCUUUUUGAAGAAUAUGAGCUAGAAUUAAUUACGAAAUGCAGGUUAUCUACGUGUUUUUGACUACUCAAAAGAGCAGCUUAUAUGUGGGGGGAAAAGUUACUAUGGUGCUCAGCUAUGUUGUGCUUGGAGGUUUGCAGUCUUUAACUGUUUUGUUUAUAAUUUUUUAUUAGCUUGCUGCUGAUCUUUGUUGAUAUUCUUCCAAUCCCCUAGCUUACCUUUAGAUUUAAGUUCCUGUAUUUGUGGCUCUUUUUGUAUUAAGAUAUGAUUGUUCUUUUGUGAUGAUUGUGUGAUUGAUUGCACAUGCUUCUGAACAGCAUGGAUGGAAAAUACAUACUGGCAGGAGGUGAAGAUGAUCUGGUUCAAGUUUGGAGUAUGGAAGAUCGGAAAGUUGUAGCAUGGGGAGAGGGGCACAAUUCUUGGGUAAGUUUCUAGAAUCAGGCUUGUUAUAAAUACCUGAUAGAGCUGCCGUAUUAAACUAUUACUGGAUGCUGCUGGCAGGUCAGUGGCGUGGCGUUUGAUCCAUAUUGGUCAUCACCAAAUUCAGAAGGUAUCGGGGAAACUGUCAUGUACCGGUUUGGUUCAGUUGGUCAGGUAUCAGAUAAUUAGGGCGGUUCUUAUCAAUAUUUACAUAAUUAGAUAAUAGAAAAGCAUAAUGCUGUAGUUAUCGUACAUUCAUUUCUUAAAUUUAAUUUUUUUUUUUGGCUCUCAUCUUUAUGUUCAUGCAUAUAUUUGACAUUUCAGAUAGUGUAGUGUAAGAUGGAAGUGGUCAACAUACAAUGGUCUGAUAAGAAUACACUUAGCAUAAGAACUUUUCAGGAUUUGAAGUGAGUGCAUUUGAGAAAAUUUAUGACCUUGUUAUUCCUCUUUAUUCUAGUAUUUUUCCUCAAACCCCUUAUUUGUUUUCUCAGAUAAAAUUGCCUUUUGCAAAAAUUGGUUAGGAAAAUAUUGAAGUAACUGAGGUGGUGCGUGUAAUUUUUAAAUUAUUAUUAGUCCUGAUGUUUGUAGUUUUCUGAUUGUGUGCAGGACACACAAUUACUUCUGUGGGACCUGGAAAUGGAUGAGAUUGUGGUGCCAUUGCGCCGAUGCCCUCCAGGUGGUUCCCCCACAUAUAGUACUGGAAGCCAAUCAUCUCAUUGGGACAAUGCACUACCAGUGGGUACGUUGCAGCCUGCUCCAAGCAUGCGAGAUGUUCUAAAGAUCUCACCUCUUGUUGCUCAUCGUGUGCACACUGAACCUCUCUCUGGCGUUUUGUUUACUCAAGAAUCAGUUCUUACUGUCUGCCGUGAAGGGAAUAUUAAAAUUUGGAUGAGACCUGGGGUUUCAGAAAGCCAAUCAAGCAACGGGGAAACUGUGUUAAGUCCCAGCUUGAAGGAGAAGCCUUUGCUGUCAAGCAAGGUUGCCAGUACCAAUCUUAAGCAAUGAUCUGUCAUCAGAGAGUAAGCAAAACAAGCUUCUUUCCAUAGAGUACAUUUUGAUUUUCUCGUGUAGCCAUUUUUCUACUCUUACCAGUUGGUUUUUCCCGAAUAGCACUUUGUGAGCGUAAUCUGACUGGCAUUCCCAAUUGCCAUGCGACCAACUGAUUCUAUUGUAUAGAAAAUCGCCAUUGAAGGCAGUAAGAGAAACAACCCCGUUUGUAAUUACAGCACGGCUGUUUCUGAAACAUAUUUAUUGAAUGACGAGAAUAAUAUGUUGUUCCUCCCUUGAGAUCUGUUUCUCUCAGCAUUUCCCAACUGGUUCUAUUAUAAAAGCUGUUCAUAUCAUGUAUAUAAUAGACAGCAAGACAAGUUGUUUUUUUUUUGUUUUUUUUAUUUUUUUUAAAUUAUUUGAGAUUACAGGCUUUCUAAUCUGUGUUAGAAGAUCAUGUCAGAAUGUUGUUUCUUCCUCCUUGGUAAUCAAGAAUAUAUUGAGAUUUAACUUCAAUUAGUGUUAGGUUUUAAACCUGAGUAUGAGAUUCCAUACCUAGACUUUUACCAACUCGAUCACUCAUGCUAGUUAACAGCAAAAUAAGUUUUGUUUCAGUUCAUUAAUUACAAAGGUAACAUUAAACUUCAAGCCUCAAAUACAAUACCUUUUCUACCAAGAAAGGUUCCAAGUUCUAGUUAUGUGUUUGGAAAGCCAAAGAUUCAACAUCCGAACUAACAUAUACAUGUGAAAUGGUCAGUAUACAUCAACGCUAAAAGCUCACUACAGAUCAUUUGUAGUUCACAGCCGCACUGGACGCUGUAGAUGCAGUGUAUAGUGUAUACUAACGAUUGUGAAUCAGCUGCCACGAACAGCUUCAGCACCUUCAAUUUCAUUUUCAAGAUGCUGAGGAUUUGUCUCUGUUUGUUGUGGUUGAUUCGGCUGAGUCACUGCAGCAGUACCAUGACGUUGAUUUGACCGAGAAAGACAUCUUUCCCUCCAUCUCAAAGCCUCGAUAAUAAUGGAAUUCCCACACAUUGUAACUCCAAACCCCGUGAAUGUGGCAAGAAGAACCGACAGAACUGCCUGCAUGUGAAUCUGUAGACCCAACAAAAACAUAUAAGUUCCACAGGUAAGAAGCUGAAAUAACAGUCCUCAUCUCAUAUUAGAUGUCUUAUUCGAGAUUAUGACACUUCUACAUUUUACUGAUUAGGAAAUUCCUCAUUCUAAGCGUUUUUAUCACAAACCGAGAUAUAUAGUUCACAGAGUAUCAUCACAUUUUCAACUUGUAAAUCUCAUAACUACUUGAUGUCAGCAGAAUGUCUUACCAAUGAAUAAAGUAGAUGAGCUGAGAGAACCACCAAAAAGAACUGAAUGGUCGCAUAAACCCAGACAUAUUUUCUUCUCACUGCAGAAAAAUUGCAAAGUCAGUAAAAUAGAAGAUUGGUUUAUGCAAGUAAACUAUGGUACGAAUGAAGAAUUGUAAGCUGGUCUACCCAUUGUGCUUGCUGUCAUGGAUGCCAAAAGACCCAAUAUACAGGAAAAAGGAAGAGAGAGCGCAAUUGCACCUGAUCCCAUUUUUCCUACCUGUGCAUGUGAUCAUAAUAGGUUAUUCUUUAGCCAUGUUGAAAAAGAAAAACAUAUAGAAGUAGAAUAACAUACCAGAAGCUGCUCAAGAAAACAGAAGUAUGCGAGCAUGCUAACUAUGACGAGAAUGGGAACAUCCUGCCAGACCCUGGAAAGUUUGCAGUACAUAUCAGUUAUAGCAUCCUAGAAGGUGGUCUAUAUAACAUUCACUCCAUUUUACUGCAUUAUGCCCCCAUUGACAAUAAGUGAAAGACGGUCAGGCAAACCAUUUACCUUUUCCAUCUUUCUCCUUCCAAACUGCAUAGUUUAUACCAAGUCCACUUUCGUUUAUUGAUCUUGGGUAAAUCCUCAAUCAAGAUUAUGAAUGAAAGUCCUUAAUUUUAAACGACAUUUUCUUUUUCUUUUGAUGAACAGACUUCUAUUUAUCUAAACAAGUAGCUGCAUCUUUUCACAACCACACAAGAAAUUAAGAGCAAAGACCAUUUCCUGCUCAUAACAGCAGUUGUAAAUUUCACUUGCCUGUAUUGAGUAACCUCAGGCUGCUGUGCUCUAGUUCCACGUAAAUUAUGUGCUUGAACAUUUUGAAUUCGUAAAAGCGUGACAGGCAGGUUCUGGACCUCUUGCUUGCACACAUCACAUGUUUUAUUACCUUUAAUGCUGAACCAUUUUACAGCACACUCUUGGUGGGCCAGAGCGAGGUCGCCUUUACAGCUGCAUUCCAUCUUCAGGGUGUCAGCACCUUCCCCCAGUUCAACUAAGCAAAUUCGACAAACAGCCUCUUCAGCGGCAAUAUCUUCACCAUCAUCAUCACUUCCAUCUGAACCACAGAACUAAGAUAAGGCAUAGGUUGGUUAUCACUAGUUGCAAAACUAGAGUUAAAGGUUGCUACAAUCUGAAAGUACAGAUAUCCUGGCACUUCAGCAGAUCUCAAUGAAAAUGAUAUGAACAAAAGCUCAAAAAAUAAUUGGAACGUAAAAUUACCAUUGUCAUCUUUUGGGGAGGUGCAUGAAGUUAUUGAAACAGUUCUCUCCAUCGCUCGUGGUGUGGAAGGAAUCACUCGAAUGACACCACCUAGACAUACACUCCCAUCUUUAUUAAGCACAGGUACUGAAUGUGAACGAUGAAUAGGCAGCUGGCGCCCUCCUUUCUGCAAAGUAUAAAAUUGGAAGAAUAAGGUGGGAUUGCUGGAUGAACUGAUGAACAUAUUAUCAGGAUUGAUUGGAAGUUUGGAACUUAAAAAGGAAGUAUAACUCCAGCAAGCGAUACAUGAACAAAAUAUUUAAACUCUGCUUAAAGUAAUAGUACAUGAAUAAAUUGGUAAAAAGCACCUUUCCUGCUAAUCAUGCACCCUACAAAACUAAACUCAUGUUUGUUUUGAUUUUGAUAAAUAUCCCCUCUAAAAUAUAGCGAACAAACAUAACUAAGGUUAAACGGUUACUUUUUUAAUCUGAGAAGUCAAACUUCAGUAUAUGAAAUUAACGGGAAAGUCAAAGAACACCCUUCAAAAGAAGGCUGCACUGUCACUUGGCUUCAGUCAUUCCUUAGAAUUUUGUAAUUGCACAGGAAAAUCAGUGGAGAAUCAUCAAGCAAGAAGAAAUGCCAAAAUAAAGGAAAAGUUGCAUAUAUACAAUAACUGUGCAGCAAUUUAUUCUCCAUUUGCAGGUAAUACAUUCACAUGAACAAACUUUAUGUAUGAUGGAGUAAUACUACAUAAUACAACAUUAGAGAUUUACACUGAAACAGGUAAGGCAUGGUAUUCAACUUGAACUCAAGAUUUAUUUUAAGUUUAACUUGAUGUCUCCAAGCAUUGUGAUCAACUAGUUUUUUUCGCAACAAACAAACUAAUUUCAAGUGGUCAAGUUAGAAUGUGAUAGCUACUCACAAGAGAACUUACCAGAUCAACAGUGUUCCUCCCAUGCAUAGACUCUGGAUUUGAGUGAGAAAUUGGAGUUGUAGGCAAUGAUGAUGUAUUCUUCAGACUUGGUGUUAAAAGGUUUGUAAGAGAAAAUGUCCUAGAAAUUAUAGGCCUCUGACGGGUUGCCGUAGGUGUACCUCCUAGUGCAAGCGUAGCAGCCUUCCGUAUCUCUGAAGUAGUGUUCCGAUACUUGAAACUUAGUUUGGGAAGGAGGCUUUUUAUGGUUGUCUUAGUUUUUGAGGAUGAGGGACCUGGGGAUCCACUGACUUUGUUUAAAUAAGGGCUGGGUAAUGGGGAGAAGUUUACUCUUUUGGGAGUGGGACUUGGAGUUGGGGGCAUGUCUAUUCUCACAAAAUCCUCUUUGGCAUCCGCAAGAGUUCUUGAGGGUAUCUGUAAGGCGAGGUUCUGUCGUCUCCAUGGGUGUUCAGGAGGAGUUUCUUCAAUUAUCUCAGGGGAAUUUCCAUCCUGUAAAAGGAACAAGACACCGCUUGAGAUCAGCAAGAAUAUGUCUUUCACAUUAAACCUGAUCAAGUACCAGUUAUACAACAAUGACGCUCAAAUAAAUGAGAAUUGUAAAUUGAAGAUCUAGCAUGAAUCCAUUUAAUUUCACUACCCAAGAUAUGUAAAAAGGAAAAGAAACCAACACAGGGGGAAGACCAAAGGUGAUCCUUAUUGAAGCACAAGGAAAUAUGAAGGAACACAAUGAUAUAAGAGCAUCAUGACAAAUUGACAAUGCAGAAUUUUAAACCAAACCCAACAGUAAGCUCUCCUUUUUCUCUCAUGUAUCAACAGCUCCACGAAGAAUUACAUGAUUUUACAAAUACCAAGCAGAGUUGAAUCACUUGAAUGGCGUAAAAGGUGGCAGAUUAUGGACCCCUAAAGCAUUUGAAGUCUUUCACUAAAUCCCAUGAUUGCUGCUGUUUAACAGUACUAUGAUACAUCAAUUAUGCUUCACCCAAUUGAAGUAAAGAUAAAAACUCUAGCACAGAGGUAAAUCAUAAGCACAUAUAUCUGGUAAAAAGAAUAGAACCCAGAAGUAAUGAAAAUCAUAAACAGGAAAGAAACAUGCAAAGCAUCACAAAACCCAUCACAGAAUUCAGCAAGGAAAGCGAAUGAGGUACCUCUUGGGGUGAAGGAUCAACUUGACUGGUGGAAAUGUCAGCAGCAUCAUUUUGCUUAGCAGAAGCUUCUUCUUCUUCAAUUGCCAUACUUGAAUUCUGACAAGGCCUUUGUUUCAGUUUCUGCAAAUAACACUAGAACCCUCGAGAGGUGAAGUAAAGAUGAGCUGAAGAAACACCAAAAGAGACAAGUGGCAGCUGAGAGGGAGAGAAUAACAGAGAAGAAGGCAGCUCGGAGCGACAGAGAGAGACGUAUAUGACUCAGGUAAAUGCCAAAGCAGAAUUUAUGUUAUUUUUUCAAGGGCCCACGGUUUUGCAACAGGGAUUGAAAAGGAGUUCGGCACCGGCGACAAGUGAUCAAAGGGUUUUAGCUUUGUCGUGUGUGAUCUUUGCAGUUGGACGUAUAUGAGUUAACCAUUUUUGUUUUUCUUAUUCAUUUGUACAAAUUUUAUCUAAAUAUUCCAUAAUUCGUAGAGGAUGAGGGAAUACUAAUAUAAAUAUGUUGUACUAAUACUGUGUUAUUUUUCAAGUUUAUGGAACAAAUUAAUGCCUUUUCUUUUUAUUUCGAAAAGAAAAGAACAUUAUGUAAUAUGUAUUAUGUACAAACUCAUUUCAUUAGCUUGCAAAUUUUCGGAUUGGAAUCAGUAUCGGAACCAAAACACUUCGAGCAGAGUAAAUGAGGUUCGGAUUGCACAACCAAACGCCCUUUGAGUCCAAUGAAGGGCCAGUGUUGGUAUGGAACAAUGUCCCCAAGAAGCCAGAUGGAAAUCAGUUUUGCUACCAUAGCUAAAUUUCCACCGUCUUAAACAUGAUUCCCCCUUUCAAGAAAAAAGAAAAGAAAAAAGAACAUGAUUCCUUGAGUUUAAUCCCUAUCCAGUGGCCUUCUUGUAGCUAAUUACCACAAUGUGACAAUCCAGUAUUCCAGUCUAUGUUUCUUUUCCAUAAAUGAAAAUCUAUGCCGGAUUUUUGGACCGUGCCGGAGAAAAAGAAUAAUGAAAACAGCAGGUGGUGACUGGUGUGGUAUAGUUCAUAGGAAAACAUCGUUUUCAGGGCAUCCAUCCCCACCGCGAAGUUUGAAGUUUUGUCCUAGUUGAGCAGAUUUGAAGUGAUCUGGACCAUUAUAGAUGAUCAAUAAUAAUCACGUUGACCGUACCAUAGAUUAUAUAUAAUCAGCAUUCAGUAUUCUUUGUACCUUUCAGAAAGAGUACAAUAUAGUUUUCUGCAGAGCAGCCAACGUAGCUUAGAGAGCAACAUGUUUGUGGCGGAUAGGAUAUUAACAAUGAUGUGGACUUCUUAAAUAUAAGAAUAGGGAUCAUAACAAGUAAGGAAUCACAACAAAUCCAAAUAUUUUCUCAAAUCUUGCGUGUUUGUACAAAAUCAACACUAACAAGAUAUUUUCAGUUUAUACAAGAGUAUAUUAAAGCUUUUAGAAUAGAAGUUGAUUACCAUUAAAAUUCAACAUCUAAAUGGACGUAGUUUAUAGUGUUUACCAAACUUACAAAAGAAAAAUCCGGAGUACCAAAUUAAAACUAAUAAAGUAAAGCAUAAUAUUGAACCAUUGGUACACUCACUAUUAAACAAACCUCCGAUCAAAACUUAGUCUCGUCUCCUACAAUUAUUUAUGUUUCUAUAUUAACUUGCCGAGCACGCAAGUGUGGUACGAGCAACCUAAACAUCUUCAUAGUGGACAUAUAUAGAAUAUGCUCCUAAUAGAUACUUAACUCAGUGAAGUAGAAUUAUUCACAUUUGAACGUAGACCCCAAAUCUCAUACCUAUACCCAGACACGGACCUAGGCCCAAAAGCCCAAACCCACCUCCAUAUAGCUUCCACCAUCGCCGGAGACAUGUCGUCGGGAGUAUGGUCCCUCCCGGCCCUCAGCUUGAAGCAUCCCCGUAGAGGCAUACUCUUCCACUGAAGCCUUAAAAGAUAGUUAAGCGAAAUAUCAAAAGUAUUACAGUUGAUUUUUGACAAUUUUAAAAAAUAGUGUGUUAUACAUGGUGACAAGGAUUUUUAUUUUAAAUUUUUUUUUUAAAGAUUGAUGAAUUUCAUUGAUCGAAAAGAUCAUACACGAGCUCUCUCGCUCAAACUAAGGGAUCUGAAGAUCACAUAUUACAUAUUCUUGUUUAGAUAGUGCUCCGAAUUCACAUUUGACAAUGACUCCUAGACUCCUACAUCUUAAAUAGAGAAAAUAUAAAAUUUAACCUAACAAUAUAUCCACCUAGAGACCAUUGUGGUGUACAUCAAUGCUGGUACAAUAAGGCUAAACUGUGUAAAUGACUACUGAGCAAGAGAAACAAGGCAAAAGCCCACUCCACCCUAAAAAAAGAAGAGAAUAAUGUAUCCACGUUAUAUGAUUUUGUUGCUGGCUCACCAUCUAACUAUUAUCUUUUCUGUUUUGUUAGUAAUUGUUAGAAGCGCAUCAUCAAACAUCUGAUGAAGUGUUUUGUAACAAAAAUUAUUAAAAACUUUUGAUGCAAAUAUAUAACAAGAACUAGCUGGAGGCUUACACCACUUCAACCUACCUUAUAAACGUAGGAUUAUUAGAUUAGAUUAAUACUACUAGCAUCAGCAAACAGUAUGUAAAUAAUUUUGAAAGUUGCUAUAUGUAGGAUUAGAUACUCUAAUUUAGUUUAUGUGUUGUGGAAGUCAACUUACCAGAAAUAAUUUGUAUUUGAUGGCUGAGGUUUAUCCUUCAUAUUUGUAAAGCAGCACUAGGGCAAAGCAUCAAUCAAAGUCUUAUAUAUUGCCCUUGUAAGAAUGUAGUGAAAGCAAAGCUUGGCCUUUUCCGGUCCAAAAGAGAAGGUGCUUCUGCACAUCUGGCUUGACAAAGACCCCAAACUCCUAGAGCAUUGUAUCAUAAAUUGUCACCACUUAGUCAUUCAGAUUGAGAAUCACUACUGAUCUACUACCACUUUCACUAGUGCAAUGGAGAACCUCGUCAACAUGUAGUUAAUUGACAAUAAUUGGAAGGCUUGCCUUUUCUAUAUCAUGGAGUUUAUGAAUUCUUGAGUGCAAGAACAAUGAAGAUCGACCAUACACGUAUACUUAGGUUGGCUCCUUUAAAGUGAGAGGGAUGAGUUCCUUUCAAGUGUAUAAAUACAGAUGAGUGAGUGUCUUUGUUGCAAAGAAACGAGGUGUGCGUAUGCUUCUUAGUUACCGAGCAAUUAUGAAGUGAGAUUGUGACAAAAUUUUAAGCCAAGGAUAACCCAAUAAAACAAUAAAAGAUAGUACAAGUUACCGUUUAGAAGAAAAUUACCGUUUCAAAAGUUACCGUUUAGAAGAAAAUUGUAAACAUCAAUGCUACACCUCAUUUAGGGAAUUAGGGGUCAUCAAAUCCAGCAGGGCUAGAUGCGCUGCCCAAAACCAAUGGGUCCGGGCUAGACGUCAAGCCAAUUGUUAAUAUUUUAGGGCUAGGGGGCUAAUAUGGGGCAAAUACCGACAUUAUUAGACAUGUGUGUGUGAGACAUGUUAACGACUACCGCAUAACAAUUGGUAUCAGAGUCAAAAUUUUGAUUGAGAGUUGGUUUGUUUUGUCCCGAUGUAGGUCGAGCCUUGGUUUGUUCUGUGACUUAUGUCCCAAUAUGGAUUUGGUUUCCUGUAGACAUAGAGUUAAGUUACACAUGAUUGGAGAUGAAAGAUCUCACAUGAGAAAAGUCACAAAUAAAAUAUAAUAUAUAAAUACGUAAAUCAUACAUAAUUGUAUCGAGACAUUUUGUAAUUAAAACCCAAAUUUUUUUUUUAAUAAAAGGUCGAUGCGGCUGCCCUCAAGCCAUAAAAACCCAAAACAUACGCAGAUAUUUAAGUUAAGAUAAUAUCGAUAUAAUAAUGAUCCACAGACCAUGCUUGUCAUUGUUUAACCUUUUAUCCAUUAUCCAUUACACUGCACGUUUCAAUAAAAUGAAUUCUUCACAUUUUCUUUCUUCAAUUGUUGUCAUCAUGUUGUUAUAGCUCUAGAAAUUACUAGUCUUUGUCUCACGCACUGCUGAGUGUUUAUUUAGUAUAGGUAUUUGAUAAAAAAAACAUCAUACAUCAUAUUUCUAUCGCUGAUUUGAGAAGGCAAUAAGUUGCAGAGAAGUACAUUAUAUCGUAUUUUGUUAACUAUCUUUACCUAUAGGAAGCACCUCUGGUCUUUCUCCCAGUAACCAAUAACACAAAAAAAUAGAAAGAUUACUGAGAUUGCCCAUGAUAGUAUGACUCGAUCGGUACACAUUUUUCCCUAAACGAAACAAAGAAAAACACAACUGAACCAUAUCAAUUCCGGAAUAAUCAAAAACCAUAACGAACAAACCAAAAACACAUUGUUCUUCUCAAUUAUCAAUUUCUCAAGCAGAGAAAAAAAUGAUCAACCUAUUACUUCACAGAGAUUGGAAGUAUAGAGGUCAGAUUACAAAGAAAAUGAAAAGAAAUGUCAUAGACUGCCCCAAAACAUUAGGAAUCAGAUUUGGUCACAGCUAACCACAGCUGUGAGGGAGAGAAAGAGAGAGAGAGAGAUGAUUGGUUGGUCACAGCUGACCAACAAAUCUGUUGGUCAGCAAAUCUGAUUCCAAAACAUUACUAUCAAUCCCAACCUUUAUGAGACAACCCUCUGACCUGUAAACCUGAUUUGUCAAAAUUCAAAGUCCCAAAUACCAUCAGACUUUGAUCAGCAAGCUCUUCGUAUCAAUUUUAUCAACUGGUGUCCUCUCUUUUCAGUUCAAGGCUUAUUCUCCAACUAUAUUAGCAGCUUCUUUUGAUACACAGAAGUCAAGAUGCAUAAAACAGAAUCCCUCUAGAUAGUAAUUUUAAAUAAGAUCAAUGACUAAUAACGUGCCAUUCUACCAAGUUGCAUAAGUAGAAUGCAGCACAUAAUGCAAAUCAAACCAUACAUGUUACAGAUGUUGUCGACAAAUGAGUUCAAUUUGACUUAACAAAGUUCUGUGGCGGAUUCAUAUCUACUUAUGUUAAAGUGUGCCAAUCGAACAAACAGAAAUAAUCAAAACAUUAGAUAUGAGAUGAAAAACCAAUUCAGUUGAAAAGCAAGGGAAAAAAAUCCAAAUACGUAACAGGCUAUUCAAGAAACACCUACAUUAAAAUUCCUUCCUCUUCAAUUUCCAGCCUUAAAUAGAUUGUUAAUCUGCUAUGUAUACAGUCUUAAGAGCAUAAUUCAGUAAACAAAUAAAUUAGCAGACACCAAAAAAACACAUAGCUCAUGACCAUUCAGCCAUAUCUAGUACAGCUUUGAAGAGAAUAUACAGAAGUGUAACAUGUACGUUGGCAAGCGAAAAUGCACCCAGUUUAUGGCAAAACAGGUAGAAAGCUGCUGACCAAAAAAAUAAAAGGUAGAAAGGUCAAUUGAACUCUAGGCCUUUAGCUUUCUAGUGACCAACAAAUAGAAAUGCUUGCGCUUAUACUCUCAAACAAUAUAGAAGACAUGAGUAACCAAGUUCUCUUGCAUUUUCACUCUGGCAAUUUAAAGCAGACCAAACAGAGCAAAUUGCCAAGAAACAUGAACAAAUUUGCUUAUCCAAAACCUUACAUAUUCAAAUGGUUAGACUUGUUUUCAAGUGCCUGCUGAGUAAAACAUUCACAACUAAUAAUUAAGAUGGGUAGGGAUUUUUUUUAUUUCCAAUGCAACCAAGCCUUUAUCUCCUUUCCUAUCACUUUGCUGUUACUAAUGGAAGAUAAAGGACAUACAUAUAUGAAAUUGCUUGAAUGGGUAAACUUCUAUAUAAUACUUGCCAUGCAGUGUUUCAAAAGGUAAAAAUGUCAAGGCAACCACUCACCUUGAAUCAUGUUCUGGAUAGAUUCAUAGCUUUCAUCUUCUUUGUAAUACUUACUUGGUAUUACAAUUAGUCAAACAACCCUUUUGACUAUUAGAAGCCAAUUCAGAAGCAAUACUUCAUGAUGGGUUUAGGGUACGACAUAUUCAUGAAUGAAAACUGAAGGAUAGAGAUAUCUUUGUGAAAUAAGGUUACUUACAGAUUUCAAUAAAGCUGGUUCAGAAAUCACGAAAACUUCAGUAAACUUGAUUGUUUAGAUACGCAACUUCAUUUACAUUCUAUAAGUUUAAAUGAUGGUCCAUAAGGCUAUGUGAGCUGUUCCAUGUGGCAAAUUAAGUAACUCAUUCAUCACUGAUCAUCCUAACUCAUUUAAAUGACAUUGAGUUCUAGAACAGAUAGUUUAAAUAUGACAAAACCUACUUGUUCACUUCCGACAUUUUGACUUAUCAAACACAGUUUAUACUGAGCUUUGUCUGAAUUGUGGCAGGUCAUUGCAACUCAGCAGCUUCUCUAACCCUCAAAUUUCAGAACUAUAUUUGUUGUUGCCUAGAUGACAGAAUUUUAUAACAAUAAACAUCACUUGAAAUUUUAAAUAUAAAUUUCAUAAAAGAAUAUUAAAAGAGGAUAUGCAGAUUAAAACUAACCCUGUUAUAAAGUUUCGCUUUUUAACUUACAGGAUUGGAACAUAUUGAGAUUUCAUACCUCACCACUCGUGCUACGGUCAACUCGUGGCCACCUCCACAGAAAAUGAGUUCCAUUUGCCAGAAUGACAUUACCUUAAUCACUGCCGUUGAGAUCUGCAACAGUAACAGGAGAAGUCAGUAUAUUUCUUUUUUCAACUUUACUGGCAAUACACUGUUAGAAAUUACGCCCUCCGUUUUUCUGAAUGUAUUAGUGACGCAAAAGCAAUUAAUAUCAACAAUUACAAAUAAGAGCAGUGAACAGAUGUGCAUAAUCAAUGAAACAUAUAUAAAUAUAUAUAUAUAUACAGGGCUUCUCUGCUACGGACGUCCGCACCGUUUUACUGUGCGGAUUUCCGUCCGUUCGCCACCGUACUGCGCCGCGCGAGGGCGCGCCUUCACCCCAGCGAACUCCAGCAGCUUCCCCGACCACUUUCUAUCCCCGGCGAGUCCGUUCUUUUCCAGUUUUCCGGCGAGAUCACCCAAAACUUCAAAUAAAGUCGAUCUCGCCGGAAAACUGGAAUUCGGCGGAGUCGCCGGGGAUGAAAAGUGGUCGGAGAAGCUGCUGGAGUCCGCUUGAGUGGAGGCGCGCCCUCGCACGGCGCUGUACGGUGGCGAACGGACGGAAAUAUGUGUUCCUGAGAAAGGUUGUAUAUAUAUGUGUGUGUGUGUGUGUAUAUAUAUAUAUAUAUAAAAAUAACUCCCUCUUAUCUGUGAUGUGGAUGAAGGGUAAGUAUGUGUUCCUAACAUUAAUCAAUACAGAAAUGAAAUCCAACCUCAAAAGCUUUUAACCGUAGUCGUUGAGAACCUUAAAUUUGAAGCCACACAGUUUUAUUAAUCACAUUGGGCUUCCAGAUCUUUGAUGUGUUGUGCUGUUCAAUUCACUUAUCUUACUUAAUAUGCUCCAUGUUUCUGUCAAGAAAGCUCAAACUUAGUACAUUAGGGAAGUCGGUGAAUUUUGAUUCUUUUUAAAGCUCUGAACUAUAGUUCAUCAAGUCCACAUUAUUUAAGUUUCAAUACAAAACCAUUCUGCAAUAUGAAACCCUUAGAUUGAACAACAUGACAUGAAGGUAAGACUAAAACUGAACCAAACCAAUUUCAAAACAAUAAAACAAUCAAAUUAUGUGGACGGGGAAUACAAAACUGGAACAUGGAUGCUACAACAGAUAAAACAGUACAUGCAAGCAAAAUGAAAAGAGCAUAACUCACGAGUUCUCAUCAAGCAUAGAAGAUAUAUCCUUCCGCACCCCAGUAUCCAAGAACAAAUAAUGUCAUUAUGACCACUUUAUUUUUGCCAAAAACUAAAAGUUACCUCCACCUGAAAACUGAAAACUUCAUUCUCUGGAAAAAAGGAGGAGGGGAGGGGGGGGGGGGGGGGGGGGGGAGCGAAACUAUCCUCUUACUCCAUCUGAUCAUCAAACAACUUAAUACACCACAAACAAAAGACUAUAAAAUGAAACUUGUUCUUAAUAAACUUCACAGAAUUUUCACAAUUGAUAUCUACCAUGUACUUUGUCUGUUACAAAUAAAUACUAACAGCUCAUGUUAUGGGUAGAUCAGUACCACCCAUUAAUUGACAUAUCUCUAACAUCAUCACCAUUGAUAGUUUGUUGUAAUUAAAACUUAAACUUUUCUCAUACUGUAACCGAAACUUCUGAACAUAGAGUCAUAAACAUAUGCAAAUGAAAGAGCAUAUCAGAAGUGACUUGGAUAGUAAGUGACUUGUGUAUUCGUACAAUAGUAUCAAAAGUGAAACAAAACUACACACCCAAUUGACCAAGGGAAUCUUUGUUCGUCUUUAGACUUUCUCAGUUCACCAGCAGUGUCUGGAUGAAGGAUUUGAUGAUGGAGCCGAUAUAAGAACCCUAAAAUCAGAGAUUUGCAAUCACCUCAAUCGAUGAAGGUGGACAUGAGAAUUCAUGAAACCAUACCUCUUCGCAACAGAAAAAAAAAUUAAAUAAAUAAAACAACGAUCAAAUCCAAAUUUGCAUAUCAUCAAAGAAUCUCGAGAAUGUUCGUCUCGAAAGCACCGAUCACUGAAGUAGUUAGCCAGCUCCAGUCCAAAUGACCAAUUGAUACCCAGAAAAGUGACUUGCAUGUGUAAUAUUGAAGUUCCCAUUCACAGUAACCGAUGCUCAAUCAAAGGCUAACCGUUAAACCCAGAAAGCUACGCUGAAGAAGAAGAAAGAGAAAAAAGAACCGAAAUCGAACCAAAGAUCCCAGCACGAAGACGAACAGAGAGAAGGCGAAACCAAGACUGAGGCAAAGAAGAAAGCGAGAGAGUAAAGAAGCAGAGUGAGACAAAGGCAAGCAGCCACGCAGCAACAACCAAACAGCUGGCAAGUGGUGGCAAAAACAUGAAUAAACGCAAAGUAGGGAGACGGCCGUAAAUUUGUGCGGUCUUUAGCUACAGUAACCCAAACACAGUAUAUAACUAGAAAUAAAACCCGCGCUUUGCCGCGGGAUUUGCUGUUGUUAUCCAACUCAAGACCACUUAUAUUCAAACUGCUGAACAUAACUAAACUAAGACGGGUCGAAAUCAAGUCUAAUAACAAAUCUGACUUUGUUAGAUUUUCUAAACCAAAAAUGGAUCAGCAAUGUAAUUCAUGCAACCUAAUGCAAAUAAUGGUUACCAACCAAUGAAUGUACAACAUAUGUAAUCUCAGCUUAAAGUUGAUAUAACAAAUUGUUCAAAAACUCAUGAUCAAGUUUAUAUCAGAUCAUGGCAUUAGAGUAGCUUUAGAGGUUAGCUUUUUCCUGAGCAUCUCAAGUUCUCAACUUCUAGAGUUUCCUGCAAGAGAAAGGCACAUGAAUGUACAGCAAAAUAAUAAUUGUUUUAAGUGUUGGGAAAAGUUUCUGUGACAGCUCUUUAUAAUGUUUAUGUGAGAUGGGUGUUAAAAUAAGCAUUAACCUCAAUUGUCUCAAAGGAAGUAGUGAUCAUGACCAUUUCUUUAAUAUGUCAGGGACAGUCUAAUUAUGUAAAUAACAUCAAAUAUGUUAGCUGUACCAAAACGCAAAAGCAAAGUAGCAAUUCAAUGGAAGAAAUUUCAACUAUGCAAUAUAUGAAUGUCCUUGUAAUCACUAAACGAUAUUCUUAACUUAGAUAAAUAGCAUCUUCUCACUCCUAAUGUCUAAGAACUCCAUGUCAGUCUCUAUUGUUUUGGUAUAAUUAUAUCACCCUUUUUCAACUGCAACAUGCUUGUAAUAAUGUUAUAUCAGUAUAACUCGGUUUCUCUGUUAAAUUGGUGUAGGGUUUGUAUGAGACAAAAUAUUGAGUAGGGUUCGUAUAUGUACCAUCCCUUUCCAUGACCUUGCUCUUACUAGUCUUGGUUAGUGUUAAUGUUAUGAUAAUUGAGGUUCACUUUUUAAACUUUUUUCCCUUUUAUUAUAGGUGUUUCCAAAUCACAUUCACAUCUAUAAAACAUACUGAUUACAUAAUUUUUAUAUGAAGAAUUGGUAACAUUUUCGACACAGAUUGACCAUCUGCAGUGCAGUGGUAAUUUUAGAUGUGAGGGGAUGAAGAGAAAGGCUAUAUCACAACAAUUUCUCUUCAGUACCAAUAAUAGAUAUCAAAAGUAAAAAAAAAUACAGAAUGAUUGUAAUGUAGAAAGGAUGUAUAUAUUGUCUGCUUGCUCUUCCAAUUUGUUUGGUUGUUGAGUAGAUGGAGUGGAAGGAACCAAUUAAAUAGAAGUUGGGUCUAUCUUCCUGAUCAUGUUGCUUAUGUUCUAAGUAGGAUUAUCUUCAUUUGUUUUGAUGAGACUUGAUGAAUAUUAGACUCUAUAUAUCUACUAUUAUAUGGAAUAUGUUUAUCUUUUCUUUGUGUAUGUUGUCACUUGGCUUCACCCUCAUUCAUUUUUUCCCUUUCCAUUACUUUAUUCUAGAGUAAUGGAAAUGGAAGAAACAAAGGAAGAUCAAAAUGGGGGAAGAAAUAAAGGAAGUUAAGGAAUAUCUAUAAAAAUUAAAUUAAUGAUAACUUUGACAACAAAGUAUUAUCACAAAAUGAAGCUAAAUAAUUUUUCAUGUCUAAACUGGUCAUUCCACUAAUAAAAGCAUAAGCCAACUUUGAGUUUACCAAACACUUUGUUACGGCUUUUGCCAUUGGCAACACUUAUAAAAAGCUAGUUUACUAAACACUCAGCUACUUUGUUUUUCAGUCACUUAUUCUCAAGAAUAAGUAAAAGCCAGUUUUUUCUUAUAAGCCCAGCUGCACCAAACGCAGCCUUCAUACACACCUUUCAUAAUGAAACAAUCAAAUAUUAGAGAUAAAGGCUUAUAACCAGCAUCAUGUGAUAAAUAUAUUAGAGAUAAAGGCUUAUAACCUCAACUCUAAUUCUUUUUCUGUUUGUAAUCUUUUUUUUGUUAAAAUAAAAAGUUCAGUAGAAGUGUUACUAUAUAUAACAAAUAUAUGGAUCAUCCGUAUGUAUAUCUAUUGAUAACCUAUAAUUCAAAGCAUACAUAGUUUGGCUGUAAUGUCGAUGCUAUUGUUUUAAAUUGUAGAUGAGUUGGUAUAUAUAGUAAAGCAUAAUUGAUGACCAACUAUUCCUGCCUUCAUAAAGCAUAAUAAGAUAAGCAAAAUCAACAAACAAAAGUAGCACCUGGGGCAAAAAUUUUGAUGCUUUAAUAAGUCAUAUAGUAAAUUUUGAUGCUUUGGCCUAUAAUCUCACAAACCCAAUUCAAAAAAGACAGAAGACUUACUUCGUUUUGAUCAAUGUCAUCAAACCCAAUCACCCAACUUGAACUCUCUAACCAGAUUUUCUGGACGAUGAAUGUAACUGAGAAAUUCAAAAAGAGACAAUCCCUCAAAGAUGUCAAAUUGAUUUUUAGUUUAAUUGGUAGUUGGGGAAGACGAAUUCACUAAUGAAAAAGUAAAAAACCAAAAUUAAAGACGAACAUGUAAACGUUGUUUCUGGAAUGAUCACUCAAUCGAUGAAGCUAGACAUCAGAACUCAUACCUCCCCGCAACAGAAAGAAGCAAGGAAACAACUAUCAGCGAUCCUCACCGAAUAACCAAAACCAAAAAGCAGAAAGGAAAACGAUCUUACACAUUCAAACCCAGCAGAGAGGAUUGGAUAUAAUUCGGAAACGAUAGAUCAACAACCAAAACAAAAUUGAUAGCCUUCCGCCUUCCUUCUGCUGCUCUCUUUUCUCUCUCACUUUCUCUAGGACCUUCUUUUCUCUCUCUGUUGCACUCUUCGCUCUCUUUCUUCUUCUCUCUUCUUUUCUCUCUCACUUUCUAUAUGGUCUUCUUUUCUCCAGGACCUUCCAUUGUCUUCUGGUCUGGGUUUCUAGAGACUGAGAGAAGUCGAACGUGACAACAGGAGCAGAAACGGAAUUACCCAUACCCAAAUCAAGGGCAAAAGACGAAAAUGCCCUAUUCAUAAACUGUUCCAGUGAACAGUACGACGAAGAAUAGAUAUGUAGUAAAUUACACGACAUGACAUGGGCUUUUGCCUUGUCUAUUGUCUAUGGUGUCCUCAAAUUAAUGGCCUGCCCCAACUUCUAUAGAUUCUUAUGUUUAGCCCAAGACUAUAGAAGACGAAGUUUUUCUUUGAAGAUCAUCGUAUUCUGUACCCGAAGGCCCAACUGCUAGUUGAAUUGGUAUUAUAUAGUUGAUUGGUGUUAUUUUGAUGAGAUUAUUUGAAAAUAAUACUAAUAAAUACAUCAAUAAUAUACAUCAAUAAUAUUGACGUCAGGUCGGAUGGUCCAUCAGUCCUUGAUGUGGAGUCAUGAAACCAAUAACUUAUGCAUGCGAGCUAAUAAUCAGUCGGUUGGAAUAUCAGAAGGUCCUGAUCAUGCUAUACAACAAUAUUAUUAUGACUAGCUAGUGAGUGUGAAAUGGACUUUGUUUUUGAUCGAUUUUCUCCAUGCUGUGUCUCCAAUUAUAUGAGAAGAUGGAUGCCAUCUUUGAUGCCUUCGGUUCCCUCUAUGAUCCAAUCCACCAGUGAGGACCGACCACAUUUGACAUAAAAUAAUGCCUUCACAAGAAAAUCGAUAUAUGUAAUAUGGAAUCAAUCACACUGAUAUGCAUUCUGAUGGAUUCUGUUAAUCAAGUAUUUGUCAAGAAACAUAAUUUGAGACAUGCUAGGUACCAUGAGUUGAUAAAAGAAUUAUAAUACCACAUAUACUUUUUUAAACUCGACAUACAAUGCACAUAAUUUUGUACUAAAGACUGAGGAUGUGCUCUCCAUAGAAAUAUAUCGAUUAUUUAAGGAGUUCUAGUAAUUUUAGAGGACAAUAAUUAUCACAUAUCUUAAUUAUAUGAGCAUCAAAGUUAAUGAUGUCGACUUUUAAAGUUUUAAUUCAUUGCUAGAAGACACAUACAAGUGGUCGAGUUUGUAAGGACUUUGGUGUGGAACCCCCAUAUUUAGGUUCGAAUCUCGCCGAUGUUAAUUGGAGUUAUAUCCCAAUUUAUUCUUAAUGAUCAGGAGAAAUUAAAUGUUUUGACAACAUAACCCCUCGGUGCGGAUUAGUCUGUAGACCCAGAAAACCUUUACAUAGACAAGUCACUAAGCAGUACGACAAGUACCUUAUGCUGCACAAAAACUCUAUUUUAUGACGUUUCACGUAUCAUAUUGGAAAACUGACGUUUCUAAUUGAGUUUUUCUUCCCUUAUUAACAUCAGUCAUGGGACUGAGCCUUUCUAAUUGAGUUGGGUUCCAACUUCCAUACUACUUUUUUCUUGUUCCUACCAAGGGCGUAGCUAAAAGGGGGUCAGAAGGGUCAUUUGACAUUUCUCAGUGUUUGAAAAUUAAGAUCUGAUAGGUCCAUGUGUUAGAAAAAUCAUUCUAAUUUGACCCCUAUGUCCUCUCUUUUUUUGGUCUGAAGUUGACCUCUUACGUCAAAAAAACAAAAGAGCAAAGAUAAAGACUAGUUUAAACAUUGACCUAAUUAUCCACAAUGUAUAAUUUACAUCAACUGCGCAAGACUCUAGUUGAUCGAAACAAUAUAUUUUAUUAACUUUUUUUUAAUUUUCUCCUCGUAUUCUCUGUACGCCGUUCUAUUCUUGUUUUGUUUUUUAAUUAUCCACAGUGAUGCCACAAUCCCAAACGGACGUUCACGUCAAAUCACAACAGUCAUAGUAUCAUACGACGUGUCGCAAGCACACUUGAGCGGUCAGCUAUCCCCUCCUCUUUACCUCACAUUACCCUUCUCUCCAACCAUACAAUAACCACCGUCCGAUCCAACAUAACCAUCUGCAGCAUAAUCGUCCCUGUGUGGGCCCCACAUCCGAAGCUGUCAGAUCGCCGUAGGACCCAGGCACGGGUCUGUCUUAAAUGGACGGCCCAUAAUCUCCCGGCCCACGUUUGUUCGAGUUGGCGGGCGAGUCCCGUUGCUUUCUCCGCCACCCACUUUAAUUAUUGCUACUUUUUUUACUCUUUACAGUUCAACUCCAGUAAACAAAUUAAAAUAACAGAGUUCCGAAGCUUCCUCAUCUCGACACGUGUACCUUUCCUCCGUCGGUUGCCUUAUCGUCCACUACUACCCUACUACUGGACUCACUCGACUAGUAGAGACUAGCGUCAAUUAUAUUAAACCCCACAGAUCUGCUUCUUCUUCCGUCCUUCACUUCACUCGAGACAUCUAAAGUAACCUUCAGAUCUCCCAAUUCCCAAAUCUCAAUUUCCAGAAAUUCCCUAAAUUGAUAGCUAAAUUCCCAUACCCAUCUUGAUGUAGGUUUCAAUUUCACAGAGAAUGUAGAUUGAAGCUUCAACAAAGAGAUGGAUCCGGGGGUGUGGUACGAUACGAAGCCUGCAAAGGUCUCAAAAAGGGUUUGGUUAGUAAUUAACAAAUCAAUGGGACUCCUCGUGGGUGGGAAUCACACCUCCUCCAGGUUUUGCACUCGCUAAUCUUUUCGCUUAUUCUCAGCUUGGCUUUUUUACACUCCCUGUUUUGAAAAUUAUUUUCCAGAAACAAUAUUCUCAGUUUCAAUCUCUGCGAAGAGAUUAUUCGAUACCGAAUCGAUCGGUUUUGCUUGGUUUGUUCUUUCCGAAUUGUGUGAAAGAAAAGAGCUCAAAUGAAGCUCGUGAAACUCCAGAUCCUUCAUGGAUCUCUAGCCCGGCGCGUGUUUUUCCGCGCUUUCUUUAUCGCCGCGGCUAUGUCUAUUAUUCCGUUGGUUCACAUUUUAUCCGGGUCUUACCUGAAAAUGUUUAACUAUGUGAGCACUAUUGACUGUGCAUCCGAAUAUGGCGGGGACAAUGUCAACUUGGACCCGGGCAAGUUCAUGUUUCAGACCCGGUUUCUGAAUCCCAUUUGGGGCGCUUUCGAUGCCGAGAAGUGCAAGCAAGAUGUGAACUUGACUGUAACGGUGGUCAGAGAGCUAAUGGGCAAGCAGCUUUUGAAUGGCGAUAAGGCUCUCUGUGUUGGUGAAGGAUCAGCCUCGGCCGUGAUGGCUUUGCAAGAUUUGGGGUUUCCUAAUGCCCGUGGUGUUUAUGAGCACAGAUUCUUCUCCCUCAAGCACAAACAGUUUGUGUAUGAGAUUGACUAUGAGGACAAGUCUUUUGACUUCGUGUUCUGUAGGGAUCUAGACAAGGUUUCUGUCCCUGCUCUGCUUGUGCUCGAGAUUGAGCGUGUUCUUAGCCCAGGUGGAAUUGGGGCUAUGCUUGUUGGUAGCAGUGGUUUGGCUCCGAAUAGCCUGAUACGGUCUGCUACCCCAAUUUCUUCAUUGUUGAAGAGUUCCAGUAUCGUGCACGUUAAUUAUAUCAGCAAUUUCACACUGGUUGUGUUCAGGAAGAGUUACGAAAAUGCUGGUCUAUUUGAGCAGUAUCGCCUUCCGGCGGACUGCCAAUCCCUCACGAACAAUAGACCUUUCAUUGAGAAAAUGGAGCCUCUUGUGAUGGAGAAGUCUUUGGAGGAUGGAGGAAUGGUUACUUAUCUGCCUAAUGUUAUUGAUGUUUCCUCAAAAAAGCGGUUGGUCUAUAUCGAUAUUGGGGCAGCAGAGCAUCUGAAAUCAAAUGUCACAAACUGGUUCCUGCCUUCUUAUCCGAUUACACACAAAGCUUUCCAUGUUUAUUUUGUUGACCACAACACUACUGUGCUAUUGUCCUAUGUCAAGAAGCCGGGAAUCACCUUUGUUUAUCAUCCAGGGCUGGCUGGAAUCAAGGACAAGAGCAGUGUUAACAUUGAAGGAGAAGCAGAUCCAUAUGUUGCAGAUGAAGGAUUUGAUUUUCUUGAUUGGUUCAAAGAAACAGUGCAGCAUGCCGAGUUUGUGGUGCUUAAGAUGAAUGCAGGCAAUGUUGAAUUGAAGUUCCUGAGGGAUCUAUUUGAGAGUGGAGCCAUAUGCUUUGUCGACGAGCUCUUUCUUCACUGCUCUGGCAACAUAGACGGGGAAGGUCCAAUGCCAAUAGAUUGUAUGGACAUCUUCAAGAGCCUCCGAAGCAGUGGUGUGUAUGUGCAUCAGUGGUGGGGGGAAGACAACCCCGUCGAAGUUCUGUGAUGGUGACGUGUUUGAUCGAUCAUCUCCAUGAUGUGAUGGUGUUGUUUAACUAGUAAGUUAUUAUUGCUUUUAUGGUUGGGGCAAUAAUUAUUAAGCUAAAUAAGCAACCACUGUUGUGUUUUGUGUAGUGUUUGGUGUUUAAGGAUGUCUUAUAGGAUGAAAAAAAAUCCGAGACUCCCACCAUUGUGUUGUUGUAGCUUUGUUGUGGUUGGUUGGUUGGCCUAUUUGAGCUUUCCAGCUUAACAAUAAGUUAUUAAUCGUUUGAUGUGUACUUGUUCUUUAUAUGGUUUUGCCUUCAAUUAUUGUUUGCUUCAUUUAGAAUUGGCGUGGACUGACAGAGUGACUGGACUCCACCUUCAAAAAACUUCAUUUUUUUCUUUGUUGGUCUGCUUCAAAAAACUUCAUACUGGUAUGAAACCUAUGCCUGUGUGGUUCUUAUUCUAAUAUUCCACCUUGAAUAAGGAAAAAGGAUGCCUAAUGACCCUGCUUUACAACUCACACUCACUUACUCAGUCCCCUUAAUUAAUUGUGUUCCCCGUACGCAACCACGAUAUAGAGUUUUCACUUGAAAGGUUGUAUGGUUGAAUGGCUCCAUAAUCUACGUAAGACUUGGUUCAUUUAUGAUGUAGCAUUCUGCUCGGGUAAUGAAGGCUACUACUCGCAUGCAUACCAUCGUUUUCGUGUCUGCCCUCUCUUUCAUAGCACAGUAAAGGUUUGCAGUGUAUCAUUAGAUUUGCCUGAAAAAAAAAAAUUAUUCCAGCUACUUCCCGUAUACAUAUGGCUUCUUCUCCAACUGAAUAUAACUAUGGAAAAAAUUCAGUUUACUACUCUAAAUUUUAGGUCUAAAAUCAGUUUGAUAUCUCAUCUUAUUUUUUAAUCAGUUUCAUAAAAUGACAUCAAUCUCGACCAAAAUGACUAAAAUAGCCCUGAUUAAUCUUUUUUCCCUCUCUCUCUCCUUGCCUCCAAAUCCACCACAUGGCCGGCACCGGUAUCCACCCCUACCACCAGCAAUGGGCCCCGGCGGCAGCCCCUCCUCCUCCCCCGGCCGUCGCCGCUGCCAUUCUUAACUCUGAGAGGGUAAACAUCACUUGACAGCAACAAGAAGCUGUGUAACUAUCUUGUGUAACUAUCUUCCCUUCACAGCAACAAGAAGCUGUGUAAAGGCUGCCAGAAGUCGGCAAGCUCUCCAUAACUCCAUUCCCUCAAAUGACUGGAAUGAAAAGCCCAAACAUAAAGCAUUUACUUCCCUACUGACCUGUGGAACUAGAAAACUGAGGAUAACGAGAAACUAGACCUAAUUACAGAACCCAUAAAACGGAAAAAUGGCUCUAAUACUUGCUAGUCACUACUCUUUCCCCAGAUACCUAAAUUUCGAUUUCAUCUGAGAGGCGAAACCUGAAAUUGAUGCCACAAAUAGCACAUGAUUAUCUGUAUUGAUCUUCUCCAUAAGUACUUUCAGCAGCACUGCAGCAGAAACCCUGUGACAAGCAAACAAGCCCAACUGUGGACGGCGUAUAUUUAAGACUAGUAACUAAAUUCAUACAUCAUUCCAUGUCUAUGGAGCUGGUACAACACAGGAUGUUCUCUGUGCAAAUUUCAUACAGCAUACCUUUUUUAACUCACUGAAAGCCGAUAGUAGCAAAAGAAUUGCAGACAAGAACCAAGGGAAAAAGCAAAAAGGAUUAUUUACAGAAUGAUAGUGGCGGAGCUCAUGCUCUCAUUCCUCUGGACCAUUGUUGACCUUUAUCUCCAAAAGCCUCUCAACUGGUUGUCGGCAAAUCGGGCAUCGGUUUGUCUGGUAUCUCAAAACCUUGGCACACCCACUGCACAUACACUGCAUCAAGAAUAGAAAUUCAUUGAAAAAUUAGUCGAGAAGAAUUUCCCCUGCUAACUACAAUUCAGGUUGAGAAAUGUCAUUGCCUUGCAGAAUUGGAUGGAAGCAAGGAAAGGUAAAACUAGCCUUUGGAUCUAGGAUUCUUAAAUAAAAAAAAGUGCUUUACUUUUAUUUAAUCACUGCACUAAUUCAAGAUGCUGCACUUUUAAUUAGGAAAGGUAAGGUACUGUAUACCUUCAGAUACUUACAACUCUACAAGACACCCUACUUCAACCCUGAAUAAAAGCUUUCUAUUAAGCCAAACUUUGAACAGAAAGGAGGAAGAUGUAAUUACCAUGUGCCGGCAUGGAAGAACAGUUGUGUCCCGUGGUUCAGACAGGCAAAUGACACAUUCUUUUCCUGGGUCGUUACUGUCCAAGUCAUCUUCGACUGAAUUACCAAUGCCAUAUAUCUCCUGUAGUUCAUACCUCAUCCCACUCACCCAAAGAAUCUGCUUGACAACCCUCACCUGGAAUUCACCUUUCUCCCUCUCAAAUACAGCCUGAGUUAUCUGAGAGUUUGUUGCUACAGAUACAGAGUUUCCCUCUGAUCCAUCAUGCUCGGGUGGGGAUGCCUCUGCCUUCACUGCUAGAGGAUAUACAUCCAAGCCUGCUACUUUCAUUAACUCUGUCUCAUCAAACAUUGAGAAGUUAAUUCCAGUUCCAGGGGGUUGUUUGAACUUCUGGCCCAAACCUUGUUGAAAAUAUACCGUCAAAGGUGGAAGGAGGCUAAACUUCAUCGGUGUCAGGUUACAGCCCUCGCCUUCUUUUGCAAAGAAAAUGAUGGUGAUGCUGUUCCAAAGAGCCACAUUAGAAAACUUGAUGAUCAGAUCAUGUCAUAAGAUUAAGAAAAUGAAAGGCACAUACACAAGAUUUUAGUACACAAAGUCACCUUCACCAGUUUGCACGUAAAUUAAAUAUCAAGACCAUGGCAAAAAGUUAAAAGAUGUACUACUAUAUGUCCUUCGACAAUUUCACAAGGAAACAAAUUAACAUUGUUGCUACUCAUAACAGUCAGAAAUACAAUCACAUGUCAAAAAACAAUAAUUUGAAUACUUUGAAGCAAACAUGAAAAUGGCAUUGGAGUUUAAUUUUACGCAUAAAAUAUCUCUCCUGGUGCACCUUAAUCAAGGAUAAUGCAGUAUACCAGGAACUUGAUUACUAACUUCCACAAAAAUAUAUAAUCUGAACCCAACUAUGAUCAACUUUCUAGUAUCGCAUCUCUACCAAAACCAAAUAGAGUCUAAAGCCUCGAUAUCAUGAUCUUAAAUAGCCCAAAUUCAUAUUGUUCCAGCAAACUCCUCCAGGGAUCACAUUUCUCUAGUUAGAAAGAGUUCAGCAGAUCUUAGGUACUAGAAAUUACUAUUGCAAAAGACGAAAAACUAGUUGUCAGCAUCACACUUCCCUCAUUGCCAUAGUCAAGGCAAUUCUGCCUUUCACUCAAAGAAGGUCCCAAGUCUAUCAAUAUGAAUCUUCCCCAACAAUAAGAUCCUUAUAUGACAUGUUACUAAAUAGUGCACAAUUCCACACCGACACUUCAUUCCAUACUGAUUGUGAGAUCACAUUGUUUUGACUUUUACCUAUCUCAUAAUCUAUAUUCACAAUGACAAGAUCAUAGAAUGCCUUUAAGUCACUUCAAAGUUCAGCUCGAAAUAAGCAUGGUAUACCAACUAGCUCUAUCCUGUUCAAAUACCACAAGAUCCAAAUUUUCACUUCAAAACUCUGCCAGAACAUUCAUUUUGAUGCUAAACUUCACCUAUCUUCCUAGGAAGUCAAUCCCUCAUUCCCAUCCCUAAUUGGCUUUAUAGAGAAAGCCACACAGCUCCAUCAGCCAUGAUCAUAAUGACCUCCUCCAGAAUGGCAAUGACCUAUCAAACUCCAAUGAACAUUCUAUAACCAGUAACCAAACAACCCCAUUCAUCACAAACUAAUCCAAUUCUACCAACUUAAGCUAUUCCCACAUCAGCAAACAACAAACCAACCCAACCAAGCAUAUUUAAUAAACAGAAUCCAAAACCAAAAACAUUCAAGACUAAAGCUCUGAUCUUUCUGUACCUCCCAGCAACAGUGGCAUCAAAAGUGAAAGACAACAGAAACCACCCGGGGUUCUCCUCAUCGGGCUCAACCCUCAAAGACUCCUUCUUCAAAUUCACAUCGUUCCUUAUCGUCACCGCCUUCUGGUGCUCCACGUACGGCGUCGGCACCUGCAUCACCGGCCCGCACCGGUACCUCCCGCCGCCCCAGUUCGGGUCCAUCUGUGGAUGCGGCACCCGGUGGUGGUGAUCGUACGGCGCCGGCAGCGGCGCCGCCGGGUAGUAACUCGGGUACUGGAAAUACCCUCCCGGGUUCGGGUACUGCGCCGGGUUUUGGUUCGGGUACUGAGCCGGGUACGGCGUCGCGGCAGCGAAGACGUAGCGGUUGGCGGAGAUUUCGGGCUGUGGUGGGGCCGGUGGGGGCGGAGCAGGGUGGCUCUGGCGGUGUCUCCGGCGAGAGGAGUUGGCUCUACUACUGCCCAUGUUUCCCAUGUUGGGAAAGUUUGGAUUUUUCAGAAUCUGGAAAGAGAAACAGAAGCAGAUUGAAAAGCCCAGAAAUUGUGUCAGGGAGUUUCAGAAUGGUGUGAGGGAAGUGGAAAAGGUAAAGAGAAAAGGUCGGAACAGGACUUGACCAUAAAAAAUAAAAAAAAUAGGUAGGAAGAGGAAGGGAGGAAGUGACAAAUUUCCAAAAGCAAUAAUGGAGACAGAUAUAGAAGAGAGGAAGGACUCUUGUUUUUAUAGAUUAUGGAUUGUCAGUGGGGGAUUUAGUGGGAUCGCGUAAAGCUCCACCCAGAACACUUGUUCUAUCCUGUUCUGUCGACUCAUUACAUUCCUGGAUGGGGAAAAGAUGAAAUGAGAGGAGUUGAUGCUCAACAGCUAAAGGGAAAGGAGUAGGAGUAGUGGCUAGCUAGCUGAAACCCUUUUCUCUUUUCAUGUGUGCAUGGUGAUUAGGUUAUGCACAUGAAUAAUGAUCAGCAACCGAUAUGGACUGUGUUGUACUUGUACGUUUGCGUAGGCAGGGCCGGUCCGUCGUGUUUAGAGGCCUUGUGCGAGAUAUAAAAUGUGGCCCUUUAGGUGCUCCUGAUAAAAGAGAAACAAUACACCAAAACUAGAAGCAUGGUGUCACAAAUAGGCAUGUAUAUAAGCAGAUCAAACAGCAAACAAAAAAGAUAGAAGACCAAAAACAAAUUUUCUGUAAAAAUAUAUUAGAUUGACUUCAAAAGCAAAUGCUCUGUAAAAGCAUAUUAGGUUACCUUUCAAAAUCGUUGAUCUUAAAUAUAUUGUUGGUUGAAUGAUUGAAAUUUGGGGCGGAAUUGGACGCCAAAACCCUAAUUCUUGUGCAGUGCCGCCGGCCGUGGAGAUUGGAAUCGCCGAGUUGAGGGUUACGAAAGUGGGGGACUGAGGGUUACGAAAGUGAUCAUGAGGAAAUUCACCCAAAUGAAGGAGGGGGGGGGGGGGGGGGGGGGGAGGGAUAAUAAGGAAAUUUAACCCUUAAAAAAAAACACACUGGGUAAAAAAUUCAAUUUACUCAGGAAAUUAAAAUGUGUGUGUGGAGAUUCAAACUUGGGUCUCCAAAACACAAAUCCAAAGAAAAAACCAACCAAACUACAACUCCAAUUGGUAAUUGGCUACAUCUUUCUACAUAAUAUAGGUGUACAAUUUUUUUUUUAAACCCUUCCAAAAUUGGAGGCCCUGUGCAACCGCACACUUGGCACAGCCCAUGGGCCGGCACUGUGCGUAGGUAUAACGUACUUGUUGCAGUAUUGUAUUCUGAGAAUGUUUUGUAGGGUUGGAGUUUUGUGUGUGCGUAAUAUGUUUGGAAUCGCAUGCUACAACGAUGAUUUGUUUGGAAGUUGAGGAUGGAUUCGCAUUGGAGGUGAGUUCUAGAAUGUACACAGUUCAUAAUCAUUGUGUACUUUGGGAGGAGUACGUGUCAAGCUGCGAUUGAUGCGUGCAAAUCAACUCCCCGUCAGGCUCCGUUGUCCUCGUUAACGCGUGAGCUGUGUGACCUCUACUAAUAUUUUUAUCCGCAAUCAAAUUGAAUCGAGGUGGGUAACUUGAUUGAUGAGGUUAUUUUCUUGUUUGUUGGGAACAGUAGCAAGAUCUUGAAUUGGGUAAUACCCGAUCUUGUAUUAUUGAGGAAAAAACAGAAGUAAUUUGGGGAGAGAUAGAAUCGUCUGGAAUCGAAUUUGGGGAAAAUUUUCUGUUUUGGCUUUUGCUCGAGUUUGAGGGAUUUUUAAGUUGUUUUUGUGCUGAAUUUGAAGUUUAUGUUGCUAAUUAUCGGUUAUGGUAAUUGGGUUGGUGCUUAAUUGAGGUAUUAGACUCUAGGGUUUUUGAUGAGUUCUGCGACUCUAGGUAGGUCUCCCUAGAACAACAACCAGAAGAACCUAAAAAGUUAGGCAUGUUAGGCAGGUCUCCUUGCAACUCUAGGUAGGUCUCCGUGUGACUCUAGGCACCACGACAUGUUAGGCAUGCCUAACUUAUUCAUGACACUGAAACCACCAUACAUAGAUAGGUCUCCCUGGAACAACAACCAGAAGAACCUAAAAAGUCCAUCAGACCCCAAAGAACUGAAUCAGCCCAAAGUGACCCAUAAUCAACACCUAGGCCCAAAGCCUAACACAACCUUUGCAGCCCUAACUUUAAACUAGACCCAAAACCCAAACUAGCCAUCAUCAACACAUUGUCACCACCAGCUAGCGGCGGCGCUGACCGCGACCUUAAGGCCUGGAUCAUCAGUGUAAAGCCCAACUGGAGAAACACCCACAUCGGCAAGUCCAUAAGCCCAUCCUCGAUGCGUCUUUAAUUCGUAUCCACCGGCAUAACCACCACUCCAAUCCAACCACUGAUCCGGCCCUGAACUAAAGUCCAUAGAUUUUGACGUCAUCAGUUAACUCACGAGGCCUCUAUACCAUCUCUAUAGCUUUUAACCCGAGCCAACCCCGAGUCUCAGCCACCAUUGUUGCACCUUGAGAAUCGUUCAAGCCAAAAUAAUGAGAACAAUUCCAUAGUGGAUCAAUCAUCCCCUCUGCGGCCACAUAUUAAGGAGAAGAAGAGAGGGAGAGCCGCAACAAUCCCGAUGCCUGACGUCUUGACAUCACAAAGUAUGUUGCCGCCACCAUCCCAACACCCACCAUCGCCGUCAAAAAGAUGAGGGUUAGGGUAAGGGGAGAGAGAGAGGAGACAACCCAUUCCAAAAUUCUGAAUAACUUGAAUAACAUUGAGAGUAUCUCCAACAGCUUUUUAAAAAUUUCUCUAAAAUAGAAAAAUAAAAGUCAAACUCUAUGAAGAAAAAAAAAAUCAGUUGGAGAUUUCAUCAUUUAUUACAACAAUAAAAUAUUAUAUAUCCUUAUUAAUUAUAACAAUAAAAUAGUUUACAUUACUUAAUAAAAUAUUCUAUAUUCUUCUCAUUGGAGCACACGAAAAAUUGAUACCGAUGCUAAUUUGAGAAAUUUGAAAUAAAGAUUUAUCAAGUUCUUGAUUAAAGGAACCCUUAAUUUAAUAUUUUAAUGAUAAAAUUGUUAAAAAAAACUCUUUAAAUAAAAUUAAAUCUCAUCAAACAGCUAAUAAAAUAACAUAACAAAUUUGAAAAUUAUACUAAGAUGGUACAUGAUAUAGUCAUAUACUAAGAUUGUGUGUCUAAGCAUGACACACCAGUGGGCAACGCAACACUUCCCAUUAUAAUAAAUCAAUAUCCAUUAUGUAUAAGUACCAUUAUGCCAGUUCUGAGUUCAUUCAUGGCUUCAUGCUAUGGAAUGAUGUCGCUACUGUGUAAACAACCGAUCACAUUAUCCAGUCCAUUCCCCAAUAAUAUACGUGCACUAUCUGCUUCUGCGGUUAUGCUAAUUCCAUUCCACUUUGGAGCUAUAAUCUUAUUGAAUCAUGUAAAAAGAGAGAAAUCAUCCUUAUUCUAGCAAAGAAAGAGAGGAAUCAAGUUGGAUUGUGUAACUAUAUAUGACCGAGUAAUGUUAGGUGAACUAUCUUUUAAGAAACUAUCUAGAGUCCAUCUUAGAUGGCAGCUGACAUGGCACAACCACAUUAUCUUACCAUGCUCUUUUAGAGAGGAUCCUUAAGUUGAGAACUUGGUGAAGACUUUUCGGCUUAUCUCACCUUUCGAUCUUAUAUCCAUAUCUUGACCGUUCAGUUUAUAGAUAUUUAUGAGUAUAUCAUUUCUCUAAAUUUUCAGCUAUAUCGAAAAUUGUUAAGACAUUCAUAAGUGUGAUUUAUCAAUUAUGAACUUGUACGAUUCAUAUUUGACAGAUUUGGUUCGUCCAUUAAUUUGAUCUAGUUUGUUAUUUUAACGAACACUAAUUUGGCUGAAAAUUUGUAGAAAUGAUCUACUCAUAUAAACCUAAACUGAACGGAUGAGAUGUCAAAAUGUGAUCGAAAAAUGAGUUUUUUAAACCAUAAACUGAAAAGUAAUCAACUAAUUCUAAACUUAAGAGUCCUUAUUAUAAGGGCUUCCUUUUUUAUGACCUUUAUACUUGAAAAUCAUCAUUGCCAAGUUACUCCUUUUUUUAGGCGGUUAAACGAACACAAAUUAACUUACAAAUAACCAUACCAAAUCGAAUUAACCAAACGAACACUUGAACCCAGAUCGAAUUAACCAUACCAAACAUCAACAAGUCACGAGGUAAGAACUUGCCAGGCAUAAGCUAACCAAAAGAAAUAGAUGUAAUGAACAAGUCAAGAGGCAUUACUGAUGUCAUUUGCUAGCUAGUAACUUUGAUAUCGGUCUCUACUUGAUCAUGUAAUGAAUGUUGCUUCAACAAAGGAGGCGGACGAAAAUGUUACACAAACUAAUUUGUUUUCCACUUGUAAUUAGCCAAAGAUAUAUAGCUAAUCGAUCCAAAUGUUUCAUCCAUAUUGACUCUGACAAAUACGUACUAGAUAAUUAACUAGGAAUGCAACGCAGACACAAGUAUAUCAAAACGAUUACUAGAUAACAAAAUGAUAUUAGUUAAGUAAUUAAGACUUUAAGCAUGUUGGAUUAAUAGUACUUAAUAAACCAAAAUGUGGAAUCAUAUACUUGGGGUUUUCUCCCCCACUUGUCCAAUUGUGUCCUGAUGUCCCUAUAUACGAACCAUUGAACCCCAUAGGAUAGGAGGAAUCUUAAAAAUGUUCAUUGAUGCUCCAAUAACGCCAUAUAAUUUGAUAUUAUCAUGAUGAUUGAAGAAAGUUGUCAAUACAUCAUUAUUUGAUAUAUAUAUAUAUAUAUAUAUAUGACAAUUGUUUAAGCAUAUAUAAUCUUUGUAGGAUCUUUAAAGUGUUCAUCCGUUGAAAUUUCUUAGUUUUUAAACCUCGAAUUAUAUGAACCUACACAUCCGAACUUACUGAGAAGAACUUUGCAGAUAAGAGAGCAACCUAUUGAGACCUAAUGAAUUUUCAUAAAAAUUAAUGGAGCUGGUUUAGGUGUUGUUAAAAGGAAGUUCAUGCUAGCUACCAAAAUUCAUAUGCUCAUGAAAACAGUGUGUAAAGAGUAAACAAACGAAAACCGAAAAACACCUUAUCGAUGCUCCAGAUCCACUGCAGUAUAAAAACUUGUGUUCAAACUAGUAUGUAUAUGUGCGUUCAGACUUUCUCUUAUUUACAUACUUUUGACAAUGAAAUUCAUAAUCUUAAUCGUUCGGAAGUUGCAUAUACUAAAAGCUAGAGAGAAAGCUUAGAGAAGAAGAUAAGGCUGCAAAUGAAUGAUCUAGAUUAACAGAAGAAUCUGAGGUUACAAGCUUAUAUACAGCUGAAAGAUAAGCACGUGAUAAACACGUGUAGAGCCAACACUGCUCAGAAUAAGCUAAUUAACUAAACAGACUAAUUGUAAUUAGCUUAAGUAAGCACAAACUAGUAACUAAUUAAAGCUUAUAGUCUAACACCCUUCCUCAACUUGAUGGGAGGGAAGAAGCAUCAAGUUGCUGCACAGAUGAGCAUGUUGAGGAUAACAAAGGCCCUUUGUAAAGAGAUCAGCAAGUUGAUUUUUUGAAGUAACAAAUUGAAGCUGUAGAUGACCUGCCUUAACUUGAUUUCUUGUGAAAUGCACAUCAACCUCAAUGUGCUUAAGCUUUGAAUGAAACACAGGAUUUGUAGCCAAGGCCAGAGCUGAAAUAUUAUCACAAAACAGUGUUGGAAUCUCUGUAGGCUUAAGCUGAAGAUCAUUAAGCAAAUGAAUCAACCAAAGGACCUCAGAAGUGGUAUCAGCCAUACUCCUAUACUCAGCUUCAGUAGAGGACCUUGAAACAGCAGUUUGCUUCUUAGAACACCAAGAUAUGGGAGAAUCAAUGAGCAAUAUAACAAAGCCUGUAGUAGAUUUCCUGUCAUUGGGAUCUCCUGCCCAGUCAGCAUCACAAUAGGCAUGUAAAAGAAGAGAAAAAUCAGUUGUAGCUUUAGGCAUGACACCCUUCCUGAAAAAGAUCCCCUGUGAUACAGUGCCCUUGACAUAGCUAAUAAUUCUUCUAGCAGCCUGAAAAUGCAUAUCAGUAGGGCAAUGAAGAAAUUGACACACUGAAUUUGUAGCAUAGGCAAUAUCAGGUCUGGUGAAGGUAAGAUACUGCAAACACCCAACUAGACUUCUGAAAAGAGUAACAUCAUGACUUUGCAAAGGCUCACCAUCAUUUAUUAGUAAUUUCAGUCCAGACUUACAUGGAGUAGAGUGAGAAAAGCAGUCAUCCAUACCAGACUUAUGCACAAGAUCUUUUGCAUAUUUUUGCUGUGAAACAAACAGCCCAUCUGAUCUGUACUCAAUCUCAAGACCAAGAAAGAAGUGCAAUUUGCCGAAGUCCUUCAUAUCAAACUCUUUUUGCAAAGCAGACUUGACAUCCUGAAUGAGAGAUUCACAUGAUCCAGUAAUAAUAAUGUCAUCCACAUAGAGUAAAAGGAAAACAUGACCAAUCUGAGAGUGCAAAACAAACAAGCUCGGAUCUGAAUAAGAAGCUGUAAAACCAAGUGAAGGAAGAAAAUUGGUGAAUCUUUCAUUCCAUGCACGAGGAGCCUGCUUUAAACCAUAGAGAGAUUUGUUAAGUUUGCAGACAAAAUUUGGUGCAUGUUGGUUCACAUAACCACCAGGCUGUGUCAUAUAAACUUCUUCAGAUAAUAAUCCAUGCAAGAAGGCAUUUUUUACAUCAAGUUGAUGAAGUUUCCAAGAGUAAUAUGCAGCAAGACACAAAAUAAGCCUUACUGUUGUGUGCCUAACAACAGGAGAGAAAGUUUCCUCAUAAUCCACCCCAUAUUCUUGGCUAAAACCUUUAGCAACCAACCUAGCCUUAUGUCUUGCAAUACUGCCAUUUGCAUUUCUUUUAACCUUAAACAACCAUUUGCAAGAGACUAGAUUUUUACCAUCUGGAAGAGGAACAAGAGUCCAGGUUUUUUGGUUCAUAAGAGCACUGUACUCCUCAUCCAUUGCUGCCUUCCAUUCUGGAAUUUUGAGAGCAUCUUUAUAGUUUGCAGGUUCAGUAGCACUAGGAUCAGAAGAAAUAUGAUUAAGAAGGGAAAUAAAACACUUUUUCUUAGAAAUACCCCUCUUGGCACGAGUUAGCAUGACAUGAUCAUUCUGACAUGAAGGUGCCAUACCUUCAACUGGAUGCAGAAUAUGAGCAUCUAAUACAGUACUAGAAAGAGAAGAUUUAGCACUGUUAAGAACAACUGAAAUGUCACCAUGACCAGGAGUGGAUGCAAGAGAAAUGACCCCAUCAGCAUCAUUAAAAAGAACACAAGUGUUGCUAUUGGAUGAGAAAAUAUCACAAGGGUUUGUAGAUGGAGAUACAUGAAGAACAGGAUCAUUGUCAACAGAGUCGCAUGCAGCGCUAACAUGUGGAGGCUCAUUACAAGUAGGAGAAUCACCAGUUGUAUCAGCAUCUGAAAUAAUAGCAUGAACAUGAGUUGAAUCAGUAGGAUGCUGACCUGAAGAGUUGGACUGAGUUGAAGUAGGUGCAGGAAUUGGCAUUGUUGGGGACUGAGUUGAAGUUGAGCAUGGUGUAACAACAGUAAGAGGAUGCAAAUAUGUAGGCUGAAGACUUGAAGUUGAAGCUGUAACCUUGCUCAUUGCAUUUUUAUCUUUACUCACAGCAUAAGGAAAGGUAGUUUCAUCAAAGAAUACAUGUCUGGAAAUGACAUAUUUUCUGAGAGUAGGACUGUAGCAUACAAAACCUUUAUAUCCGGCAGCAAAGCCAACAAACACACACCUAACAGUCUUAGGUUUAAGCUUGUUAGAUCUAUAGGGUGUCAUUAGAGGAUAGCAAGCACAACCAAACACCCUUAGCAUAUCAAUUGAAGGAAGCUUCUGAUAUAAACACUCAUAAGGAGAUUUCAGCUGAAUUGUUUUAGAUGGCAUUCUGUUAAUUAGAAAAGUGGCAGUAGCACAAGCAUGAAACCAAAACUGAUCUGGAAGUGAAGCUUGCUGCAACAUGGUAACUGCAGUUUCCCUGAUAUGCCUAUUCUUCCUCUCUGAAACACCAUUUUGCUCUGGUGUGUAAGGACAAGAGAUCUGAUGAAUGAUUCCAUUCUGAGAAACAAAUUCCUUAAACUUUGCAUUGACAUAUUCACCACCACCAUCACUUCUUAGCACUUUAACAAUAGAAUGAAAUUGAGUAGACACCAUGGCACACAAAGACUUGAAGUAAGACAGUACUUCACUUUUGUAUUUCAUAGGGAAAAUCCAAGUGAACUUGGUACAAUUAUCGAUGAACAAAACAAAGUAUCUAAAACCAUCAAUGGAAACAUAAGGCGAAGGCCCCCAUACAUCAGAAUGAACUAAAUCAAAAGGAGCUGCACUGCUAGAGGUAGAAAUGGGAAAGGGAAGUUUAUGAAACUUGCCUAAAAGACAUGGCUCACACACAUAUGUGUCUAUAUCAGAAACUGAUCCUAGCUUGCUCUUCUGAAGCAUCAGUUUGACAACAUCAUUUGUGGGAUGACCAAAACGUUUAUGCCAUAACGAUUGUUGAACUUUCUGUCCAAUGAAAGCAGUGCAGUUCUGAGGGCUAGAGACACCUUUAUUCACACAAACUGAAGAAGAAAUUGCUGAAGUAGAACUGUUGGACUGAGAAAAAGACUUGUCUUUGUUGUUGUUGAUCAAUGGAAGCUGAAAUGGAAGAGGAUAUAGACCAUGCUCACUCAGUCCCUUGUACACAACCUUGCCCUGCACCUUAUCCUGUAUCACACACAUAAACUCGUCAAACCAGACCAAACAGUUGUUUUGCUUACACAACUGGUAGAUAGAGAGUAAAUUAGCAGCAAUAUCAGGGAUGACUAAAACAUCAUCAACUUUCAAAGACCCCAAUUUUGUAUCACCAGAAUGAGUAAUGUGCAAUUUUUCACCAUUACCAAUCUGAACACCAUCAGUUGUAGGGUAAGAAGUGAUAUUAUUCAGAUGCUCCAUAUUGUUGGUCAUAUGAUUUGUGGCUCCAGUAUCAGCAAAGCCAAAAUUGAGGAGCCAUGGUGGCAGAAGCUAGCAUUGCAGUGGCAGCAUUGCCUUGCUCAGUUUGUCUGUCUGGGAAGCCAAUGAUGAAGAAACAGCCAUCAGCAGUAUGACCAUAUUGAUUACAAUACUGACAGGCACCUUGAGGAGUUGCACUGAAGUUGUUGCCGGAGUUGUUUUGAACAGUAGGAAGAGACCUACAAGUCUUUGCAGAAUGUCCAGGUAUGUUACACCACUGACAAAUGAUAGAUGGACCUGCAUUACCACCAUUGUUUCUAAAACCACGUCCUCCAUUACGUGAGCCUCGUCCUCUACCACCAUUGUUAAAACGAGGAUUACCAGAACCAUAAGAACCUCUACCUCCUGUGUUUGCACCAGCAUAAAAUCUAGUAGGACCAGAGGGACUAUUGAACAUGUUAUAAGAAGGAUUAGGAGAGUAUCCAAAAGGAACAUGAGUAAAUGGCAUAUAUGGGUGAGGAGUGGGAUAGGAAUAUGAAGGCAUUGAUUGAGUAUUUGAAAAUCUUGGUGGAUAUGAAGGUGUAGGAAGGAUAGGAGGAGUGGAAGUAAAAGAUGAAGUAGCAAAAACAGGUGGAAUAGGUGGAGUAGGCAGUAUAGGAGUGAGUGAUGCAGCAUUAGAGGUAGUAAUAGGAGUAAGAGAUGCAGCAGUAGCGCUUGUAGAAGCUGAUGAAGUAAUAGAACUUGAGGAACUCUGAUCAGAAGCAGUGGCAACUUUGCAAUUAGCAAGCAUGGCAGUAAGAAGAGUUUGAAUGCUGUGAGACUCAUUGCUAAUAUCCAAUUCAGCAGACUUCAACAGAGUCUUAAGCUGAUGAAGUGGCGAGCAAGUAAACUGAGAUCGAAUGACAGUCUUAAUUGCAGCAUACUCAUUAGGCAAACCAUUAAGCACUGUAAUCACAAUAUCAUCAUCAUCAACUAUCACACCAACAGUUUCAAGAGCAUCCUUAGCAGCCUUGAUUUUAUCCAAAUAGGUCUCUAUAUCAUCAGAACCUUUCUUAAUGUUCUGAAGAUUGGAUUUCAGUUGCAGGAUGUUUUGCUUAUUAGAAUCUGCAAACUUAGUCUUAAGUCUACUCCAAAGCUCCUGUGCAGAUUUACUACCAGUAGCACAGUUUGUGGCAACAGGACCCAAAGUUUGGCCAAGCAUAUUCAUAAUAUUUCUAUCCUGAGUUUUCCAUUUCACAUACUCAGGAGAAAGAGAAGUGGUGCCAUCAGAGGAUGUAACUAACUGUGGAGGACUAGGGAUUGAGCCAUCAAUAAAACCAAAUAGAUGUAGACUAUCAAGAAACAUCUCCAUUAUGUAAAGCCAUGCCGGAUAGGUAGACUCAUCCAACAUUAUAUUAGGAAGCAAAACAGUAGUAUGAGUAGAGAUAUGAGAUGAAGCAUCCAUGACUAUAGCACUGAAACGACAAGCUAGGGUUUGAUAAAGAAAAACGGAAAACUCAAAGGCUAUUGACACGAGAAAAUGAAAGAAUGAAAGAUCACAAGAUAUUGAAUCACAGCGAAUAGCUAGGGUUUAACUGCUCCAAAUCAGAUCUAGAACGAUUUAGACAAAAUUGAUGAAUAAAACUAACAUCAAUAGAAUCAGAAUGAAAAUCCAAAGCUUCGAUACAUCAUAAUCGACUCAAACAGCAAGGAAUCAAAUAUGCUUCGUCAACAAUUUGCUAUUCGAAAGAUGAAAAAGAGCUUAGGGAAGACACUUAGCUGCUGAGGAGAGAGAGAGCGCAGACGAGAAGAAAGAAGAAGAAGAACCGCUGCAAUGGCGUCGAAGCUUCCCUGGAUCAAAACCAAGGCUCUGGUACCAUAAAAGCUAGAGAGAAAGCUUAGAGAAGAAGAUAAGGCUGCAAAUGAAUGAUCUAGAUUAACAGAAGAAUCUGAGGUUACAAGCUUAUAUACAGCUGAAAGAUAAGCACGUGAUAAACACGUGUAGAGCCAACACUGCUCAGAAUAAGCUAAUUAACUAAACAGACUAAUUGUAAUUGGCUUAAGUAAGCACAAACUAGUAACUAAUUAAAGCUUAUAGUCUAACGUAUACCAAUAAAGAUCAUCUCUGCAAAAAAUCAAUGUAAAAAAAGAUCGAUUGCUCAGCCGAAUAUAUCAAACAAAUGAACGUCUGAUCAUGAGACUGCUAACUUUCACCAGAACUGUCAAUUUGUUUAACUAAUGCAAUCGGCUGAGCAAACUAAUUUUGUUUACAUUGAUUUUUUGCAUAGGUGAUCUUUAUUGGUAUAUGCAACUUCUAAAUGGUUAAGAUUAUGAAUUUCAUUACCAAAAGUAUGUAAAUAAGAGAGAGUCCGGAUGCACAUGUACAUACUAGUCCGAACGCAAGUUUUCCAUUGCAAAACACUAUUACCUAACUUAAUUUCUUUUGCAACUGCCUUAUACUUGUAAAGGAAUAGUUUGAAUCUAGCUCAUUGACAUUAAACCUGGCUCCAUCUCUUCAAAGCUAGACUUGAUGCUUCUUUCAAUUAUAGAAGAAAGAUGGCAUAUCUCAUGUCACUCGAUCAACUAGCUACCUCACAAUUUAACCACCAAAUAUAUCAAUCAACAGAUCAUCUUUAUCGACCAUAUAAUCGAUCAACACUGGCGUCGACCAAAAUAUAAUUCAGUUAGUGAAUUGCUUUCCCUAGUGUUAUAUUCUUGGAAAUUAUCCUACAUUCCAAUAAUAGUAGUUAACUUCCUUAAUGGAGUUUAGUUCGAGCCUCCUCAAUUGUACGAUAUCGUAGAACAUAUUCGUCAUGAAUUUGGGGUAAAAGAACUGAAGAAGACUCUCUGGUUUUACAAUAAUUGAUCACGUAAAUGAUAGGUGAAGUUAGAAAUUAAGAUCAAAGACGGAUCAGAAUGACCCCAACCUUCUGGCAUACAAGAGGAUAAAUCAAAGUCCUCUACAAUUAAAAUUUCAAUUAAUUUUUAUGACUGGAAUAAUGGUUUAUCUCGACUUUGGGGUAGAACCCUAGCUAGCUAAAAGGGUCUCUGCUGUCUACAAGUAUUUGAUACGCUUGGGCGGCUUGGCAAUCCAUUUUCUACUAGCAUUGUACGUGGUUACGUGGACUUAGUUAAUUACCACACAUUAAUUAAUGUAAUUUGUUGCCGAACUUAGCUAAUCAGUUUCUUUCAGUUGAAUAUGCGGAACCCUCGCGCGCUUUCUGCAGACGAAGAGAAAAUCAAACUUCUCUACACCAACUUCGAUUCGUUGUAGUUUUGAUUAUAUAAUCAGUUCAGGAAUCUAUAUUAGACCAUAAUCUGAAAAUAUGAGAAACUAUUCCAUUCCAUAGCGUAAACUAAGCGCACUGUAGGCGUGUACGACUUGUUCCCAAACAAACAUAUAUAGAGAGAGAGAUAAACGUAUGUAGAUAUUCUAUUGAUGGGAAAUUAAUUAAGAAGUUUCUAUUAUCUGUGAGACUGCUGACACCUUCUAGUCCUCCUUUCAAACUUUGAUUAAUUCACUAAUUCAACUGUGUCUACAGAAACCUAGCUCACCGGGGCAAACCAUGCAAGUAUUCAUCGUCAUCGAUAGUGCUCUAUCUUUUCUAUAACUUGUACAAUGACACUUUUCAAUAUGCAAGUAUUAUCAGAAAUGGUCAUCAAAGAUACAUAAGCGGACAUGUAUAUCAAGUAAACUAGCUUAAUAUUGAGGUAUAUAUACUAAUUCCACGUCAAGCCAAACUAGUCUACUAAUGUAUGGAAUCGGUCAAUCUCCAAUCUGCAUCGCAUCUAGUCUCUUAAUCAACGUAUAUCUUAAACAAGAUAUGUAAGUGAUUCACAAUGCUCGUUAUGAACAUGAUCACUUCAUUACAGGUUUUGUGAAACUUGAUACACAAAUGUCUUAGAUUAACGAGAACACUAUAAUCAUAAUUUCCAUAGAUUCUUCAAUGAUAUGUCCCCAAGGUUGUUUGGUAACUGAAAUCCCCAUCAUACGAUAAAAUGCCAUACGUUGCUUGUGUGAAAAUCAAUCAAGUUUGAAAGAGCGCUAAGGUGUGAAUAGACAAAAUGUGAUCAUGUCUUUGAUUUGUUGAACAAAUAUUGUUUAGGACAAACCUUCAAUGAAGUUACCCUAAAGAUGCCGGUAAGUGUCAUAAUCUCUGUCAAUAUCUGAAGAAACACUAGUAAGCAGUCACCCAUGCACGAUAGAAUGGCCAGACAUACCAUGAAUAAUAUUCAAGCUUUGUCUCGUUUAGACCUUCCAAAAGUCCAAAUGUGAGCAAAUUGAUCCAAAAUGGGUCUCCAAACACUUGUCGUUUCAAUCUUGCACGCUUUCACUUUUCGCAUCUUUGUCUUUACUUCUAGCCGUGUUCAUGUUAAUUAGCAACUCACUUGAGAGAAAUGUACGUGCAAUGCAGCAAUCGAAUUUUUUACAUGGAUGGUAGACUAGUAAAUGUAGUGUUACACGGUCAAUGAUCAUUGAUACUGUAAUUUAGACCAGUACUUGUAAAUCAGUAAACUAAUUUCAAGCAGUGAAACUAAUAUUGCAUGAAUCAAGUUUACCGCCACCAAGAGUACGUACGUACGUCUGCCAAUAAUAUGCUUUGCUAGGAGUUUGAUUCAUUCCCUGUCCUAUAGUUCAUGACGUACCAGAAAUUUUGCUUAUAAAAGGCCGGCAAAUUCAACCAAUUUUCUUCACCAAAGUUUGAUAAGAGGCUGACUGACCAAGCAGUCUUGCAGAGACUACUCUUGCAGCAAGGAAUAUAAAAAUCAAAAUGGAAAAUCUCCAAACUAGUUCAAACUUGGAAAUGGAAAGACUAGCUAGCUGCAGCCCAUCCCAAUGAAGUCAAAAGCCGCGGGCAAUAAUAUAAUGCACCUCUUCAUUUCAAUUUUUUCCCCAAAGCUUCUUCUAUCUUGGGUUUCUCUCUAAAAUCCUAUUCCUCUUGGUUACCCCAACUUUUGAAGAUUUCAAUUUCCAAUCACACAACUUAGUACAUGAAGUUCCCAAUUCCCUGCACAAAUUGCUUCCACUCCUCACCUGGAGAAGCCCCUCAAAGAUUGAGGCAAGGUUAGUUGUAGUAAGAAUGUUUGGUGUGCUUAGUUUAUGUUCCUGUCAGGAAUGAUGUUCUUCAUGAUUUUGUCUCUGUUUCUAAGUUAUUUUAUUUAGUUUUUAAUGUAUUUUUCUGUACCCAACCAAACCCAGAUGGUCAAGAUCAGGAAAAUUUCAGAAUUUUCUCUUGCAAGGAGUUGAAAUCUGCCACUAAUGGCUUCCACGCCUCGAACAAGCUUGGAGAAGGUGGCUUUGGCUCAGUUUUUAAGGUGUUUUCUCUUCUCCUGCAACAUAGAAAUCCUGCAUAUAGUGAAUAUGGGGGUUAAUUUUUGGGUUAAAUUUUACAGGGUAAGCUUAAGGAUGGUACUUUUGUGGCUAUAAAGGUGCUCUCCAUCGAACUCGAAUCGAUGCGAGGAGAGAGGGAGUUCAUAGCUGAAUUGGCUGCACUUUCUGUAAUCAGUCAUGAAAAUCUUGUUAAAUUGCGAGGGUGUUGUGUUGAUGGUGUUGCCAGAUAUUUGGUCUAUGAUUACAUGAUAAACAAUAGUCUUGCACACACUUUAUUAGGUAAUUCUAUGUUUCAAUUCUAUCAUUUUGGGUCUUAAUUAAUGAUCCUCAUUGUGAAGAAUCAAACUUUUAAUAGGAAAAUUGGGUUGUCAUAUAUUGCUGAUAUUAGGUGGAGAGCAAAACAGGAUGAAAUUUAGUUGGGAUUUAAGGAGGAGCGUUGCAUUAGGAAUAGCUCGUGGACUUGCCUAUCUGCAUUUCGAGGUUGAACCUCAUAUUCUGCACCGAGACAUUAAGGCGAGUAACAUACUUCUUGAUGAAAACUUCAUGCCAAAGGUUGGAGAUUUUGGCUUAUCGAAGCUGUUAAGAGAAAACCAUUCUCAUAUCAGUACUCGGGUUGCUGGGACAAUGUAAGUUUGAAUCACUACUUCUGCCUCUAUACAUUAUCGUUCUGCCUUUGGAUUCUUGAUGUUCCAUGCUAAUGGGGUUUCUCAAAAUGAUCCAAAAGGGGUUAUCUUGCUCCAGAAUAUGCUAUUAGCGGACGCUUGACGCGGAAAUCAGAUGUUUACAGCUUUGGAGUUCUGCUGUUGGAGAUUGUCAGCGGCCGUGCAAUUGUGGAUUUUGAUAUGCAACUUGGGGAGCAAUUUCUGGUUCAGAAGGUAAAUAGACAAGAGCACUUGAUUAUAUACUACUGGCUUGGUCAUGCUUUCAUCGCAUAAUAGAAUUUAAGCCACAUUGUGAACUUGCAGGCAUGGGAAUCAUACAAGGCCGACAACCUCCUGCAGCUAGUUGAUCCUACACUUCAUAUGAACUUCCCCAAAGAUGAAGCUCUACGAUUCUUAAAAGUAGGCCUUCUUUGUGUGCAAGAAAUGGCAAGACUCCGGCCACGAAUGACAAGGACUGUUGAGAUGUUGGCGGGUGAGAUUGAAAUGAAAGAUUAUCAGAUUUCACAACCUGGACUUGUUUCUGAUUUUACAAACAUCAAAAUGGAUCAGCAUCAGUCAGGUGAUCAGAGUACUUUCUCCAGGGGCUCCGCAGCUAGUACCAUUCAAACACGUUUUUCAUCUGAGGAGUUCAAGUUAUCCUCGUAAAGAUCAUGUGUGGUUUUUUCUUUUAUGAAGCUGUCCCAGGAAGAUCAUUUCAGCCAACAGAUAAGGUUGGUUCUUUUUUUGGACAUCUUAGUAUAUAAGAUCAUCCAACUCCAAGUGGAGAACUCAGAGAUAAUCUAACUCAACACCACCUUUUUUCUUUUGACUUUGCAUUGUUUGAUUAAUUGUGAAAUGUGGAGGCGAUUCACUUUCUUGCUGUUGUUGAUAGUAUUUUGCAAAAUACAAGUGUACAAGUUACCUCCACAGAACUAAUGCCUAUGUUUCUGCAACUGUUUCUGUUAUUACGCAUCCCAAAGUUCAUAAACUGCAGCACAGACACUAGUAAAUGGUGAACCAGGCUGUGAUAUGAGCCUAAAUAACAAAAGAGUAAAUAUAAAAAGAAGAAAAGAAGAUGAAAUUAAAGGGCAUCGUACCCGACUAUUUCCUAGUCUACCAGUCAACUAGCUACUACUAGCAUAAAGAAACCUCAGCUUAACAAACCCAGUUCACGUGGACAUGAGAGCGUAAGAGAGAAGCUGAAAUGAGAAAGAACGGAUCAUUUUGGGCCUACCAUUAGUUUGCAUUCUCUUGUGCUCAUAAAGCUAAGGUUGUUUAUCUGUUCCAUUGAGUUCUUGAUUUCCAUUUCUCUUAAGGGACUGCAAGACACAUAUUUGGUAGGAAGUAGUUUUCCUAUCUCUAAAUUGGCAAUAGAAGUCAACUUAAAACACUUCUUUGACAAGUAAUCUAUGGAUUCAUUUGUAAACAUAGCAAUAUAAAGUUCACAGCCAUCAAAGAAGUAAAAUCAAAAUGUUACUGUCAUAGUCGAGCAUUCAGUUGAAAUGAAAGCAUUAUAUCCCUAAAACAAAGUAGAUGAUAAGAAAUGUGAGGUCUUCACAAAGAAUGUGUUAGUCUAUCAGGAUAAUGUGCAUUGAAAUAAUUUUCUCAAAUUCAAGUAGAGACUGCUCUCCCAUGCAGUACAUGAGAAGCCAAAAUAUGAGAUGGACUUUUAUGUGGAGUGGUACAAAAAAUAAUUGCUCCCUUCACUUUGUGAGGAUUAAGGGAAAUAUAAUGAGAAACAAAGAAAAAAGAGUAAAGGAGUAACCAACGUAAUUUACAAGAAGCUCAUAAGAGAUGUACAGUUGGGGAAGAACAUAACUUACUGACCAAUGUUUGAUGUAUAUCCGGCGAACUGAUUCAGCAAUUACAAGGUCAAACCAUCUUUCACAAUGUGCUCCAACCAAGAUGCAAUAUCAGACAUGGUAGGACGCUCGUUAGGCUUUUCUUUAACAGCUAGUCCUGCUAUAUCAGCAAGUUUAAGCAAAGGUUCAACAUUUCUCGGAAGAGCUACAUAACGAUCAAUGAUGGCAGCUGCUUUGUUCUGUUUUAUUAAAGGCAAUGCCCACUCAACUAUACUUGGAGGAUCGUAAUCUCUGUCAUAAGCUUUCCGUCCACUGAGAAUCUCUAGCAGUACUCUCCCGAAGUUGUAAACAUCAGUCUCCAAAUCCCCACCAAGAUCCUUGUCAUUAGAAGUAAGGAGUCCGAAAUCUGCAAUUCUUGCACUCCAUUCAGAAUCCAAAAGAAUGUUUGAGGUCUUGACAUCACGGUGGACAAUGGGAGGCACGAAUUCCUUGUGAAGGUACUCGAGCCCCUUUGCAGCCUGCAUUGCAAUUUUUAAACGAAAGCCCCAGUUUAGAGGAGAAAGACCACCAUGGAGAUGGUCAUAAAGUGUACCAUGGGGCAUGUACUCGUAUACAAGCAGCCUCUCUCCCAUCUCAGAGCAGUAACCUAACAAGUUCACAAUAUUACAGUGUCGGAUUUGGCAAAGAACUUCUAGUUCCAUUUCAAAGUCCCUACUGUUUGUGUGAAUUAUAGUGGCAGCAUUUGCUCUCUUGACUGCAACUUGCUGCCCUUCUGCUAGCACAGCUUUGUAAACAAAGCCGUAGCUUCCCCUACCAAGCUCAUUAAACUCCUUGAACCCGUUGGUUGCAUCUUUUAGUUCCGAUAGUCUGAACACUUGAGCCAGCCCAGGACAUGGAACAACAGAUAGAGGAGCUUCUGAAUCUUCAUUAUUGUCUGCUUCCAACUCUGGCUUGCCAAUGCAAGACUUGAACUGCUUCUUGGUCCCUUCUUCCUUACGAGAAGUGGUCAAACGGGGCAGAAAGCACCAACUGAUUAACACCAACAAGAAACCCAAAGCACAAGACCCGAAUAUGAUCACCAAUCUCCGAAUAUGAUGCCAAAGCUUCCUCUUCAUCUCUGGAGGUGCUUGAAGCCCACAAAUAUCCCAGCAAGUGCUAUUUUGGCAAAGAGAGCAAGCUGUGCACACCCUAUCAGCAUGUUCAGUACAUGAACUCGACAAGAAGUAUCCUUCAGAACAAUUCGACCCACAAGGUGAACAAAUCGUUAGAUCUGUUCUAACACACAAGCUUGUCAAAUCCACCUCAUUAAGAACACUAGCAUUGAAAGCAAACUUCCCCACACCACAAGAACCAGCACUACAAAGACCCGGACUACACAACUCCAAUGGAGGAUCAUACUCGGGUUUCUGCGAGGAAGUUGCAUUAGAAGCCCAACAAUCCAACACCAGAUCAUCCUCCCUAAUCCCACAAGUAGUGAAAUCAGACGAAGCAAUUGCCACAAACCCUGGGCCUUUAGGAACCAAAGAAGAGUUGAAGAUCCCCCAACACUCAACUCCAUGGUUAUCUUCUCUAAUCCCACAAAAAUGGCGAGCCCCAGCGGCCAGCGCCACGUAGUGGGUAUCAUUAGGAUGACCAGCUAACAAAUCAGCAUCACCCCAACAUUGAACCUGACCAGUCACCUCUGAAAUUCCACACAGUGAAUCCUUCCCUGAAGCCAAAGCUGUGAAAUUGUCUAGCACACCAGAGACCCCUAAAUUAGCAGAGUUGGGUCCCCAGCAAACAAGCCCUCCUUCUCUAAUCCCACCACAGCUAAACCCUUCACCAGAAACAACCCUUUUGAAAACAAGAUUGCUGAUUGACUGGUCAUAAAACAGAGUACUCUGUUUUGAACUCAGAGUACUAUUCCCAGUUUCAUAAAUCUCCCAACAAUCCACUGUACCCAAUUCAUGAUCGGAAUAAUAAGAGCCUCUGAUGGCACAGACGUGGCUUUUCCCUGCGGCAAUAUGAGAAUAAGCGUUGGUCUUGAAAGUGGGUGGUACGAGAUCUAUACCUGGGGCAAUGGAGCUCCAACAAUACGCCUGAGAAGUAUUGGAUAAAAUGCCGCAGAGAAAGCCUUCACCGCCGGAGAGCGCAGCCAUCGCUGGAAUGUUGCUGAAAGACGCCGAAGUAGGCAAAGAAGCCGAGGAAGGUGUCGACGCCGAGCUGUUCUUGCCCCAACAGACCACUUCCUGCUUGCCGCUAGCAUCUAUGGCGCAGAAGAAGCCACUUUCACCAAAGGAAGCCGAGAUUGGCCCCAUUGAUCCAAACCCAGAUGCAGUUUUGAAGAAGAGAAGUAGAAGAAGAACAGAGAGCAGUGUAAACUGAGAGAACCAAGAAAUGGUGUGGUGGGUUUGCAUGGUUUGGUUGGGAUUGGAUCAGUGAUGGCAUGGAGUGGUGUAAAGGUGUGGCUUUUGCAUGGUGGGAUUGGUGCUGGUUUUGCUGAAGUUGAAGAGGUGUGAGAGUGAGGAUGGUGACGAUGAAACAACGUGGGUGUCGCAGCCAUUUUUACCGUUUUGGGUGGACCGUUAAGGACUCUCUCUGCAGCAAAGUAGUUACUGCUCAUCAACUGGGUUGUAUAUUUUAAUGUUAAUAAUGUCUGGUUCGUUUUGUUUACUGCAAGCUUUGAUCGGAUUCGAUUUGGAGGUGCUGCUGUUCACCGUGUUAUAGCGUUAAACGAGGAUUACAGUCCGCCACAUGGUUUCUACAAGUGGGGAGGUUCAGCUCGGUUCAGCUCGGCUGGAGGGAGAGAGAGAGAGAGGAGGAAGUGUUUGACUAUUGGAACUCCAUUGACUUGUAUAAUUGAACUGUUUGUUAAUGUGCUUAUGUCUUGAUUAUUUGAAGCAUAUGUGAUUCUUCAUAGUUGUCAUGUUUGUGUUCGUUUUUAGAUUUAUGAUAGUGUUUUGUAUCAAAUUUGUGUAAACAAUGUCUUGAUGUGUUUCUGUUGUAUAUGAAUCGGUAAUGUUUGUGUUCAUUUCUAAAUCAUGUUAUUUUUACAAAACUAAAAUAAUCUAAAGUUACGUAAACUUUUAUUAUAAUUGUCAUAUUUAUAUCAGAUAUACAUGAAAUUUAUGGUUUGAGGACUAACAAGUUGAUAUGAAUUAUAUGAGGUGACGAAAAUUAUAAUAUAGUAUUGUCUUUGUACCAGAUAAGUGUCAGCAACACAAAUUCAAGACUACAAUGAUCAUAUUAGAUACGAUACGCGUUGAUAACAUUUUAGAAUCUAAAUGCACCAGAGUGAGACAAUCCACUCUUCAUUUUUUUCUUGUAAUGUAACAUUAAUUUACAUGCUUGAGAUAUAAUCUACUCAUCAAUAACCAAUACAGAUCUAAUUCCACACUAUAGGAGCUUUUAUUAUGGAACUUAAGUUGACUUAAUUAAAGAGACAAUUUGAUAUUGCUUCACUAUCAAUAGCUAAACACAUUGCACAAAACCGCAGAAUCUUGUUCUAUUUGCUGUGUUUUGUAAGAGUCCAAUUCAUUAACGUGCUCCACUAGUACCCUAUGAUAACUUUGUGUAUGAAUGAUGAAUCUAUUGUUAAAGCUCUUCCGUACCUAAACAUUAGAACCGUGCAGGACAAGCGUGACAUUAAAAGAACUUCUAAAUCAUAUAUGCAGAUAAAAAUGGAGGAUCCAAAUGAGAGCACUUUCAUAACUUGUACCAAUGAGCAAGAGAUAGAAGCGGGUUUUUCAUGCAAAAGAUAUUUGAUUGGUGCAAAGGCAAAAAAAAAAAACACUAGAUCAUUAUAGUCAGAAAGUUGGUUUUGGUGUGGCAUGAAUGUACGAUAGCACUAUUGCUGCAAUAUCAUCACAUUUUAAUUUCAGUACUACUAGCUUUCAUGGAUUUGGACAACCCAAAUUCCAAAAUAAAAAUGCUAAUAUUAUUUCCAUCAAUCUUAUAGAAUGGAACUUUCAUCUUGUUAUAUUUGUUAAAAUCCGUAGUUACUCAUUUAUGGAAAAAGAAAAUAAAGGAUUUUCAAAACUUGAUUUACAUAGUUAUGAAAAAGAAAAAGCUCUUGGAUCCGUAUGCAUUAUCAUUUGAUUUGUCACGCAUUCUAUCACAGAAGUGACAAAUAUUGGGGUAUGGAGUUUUAUAAAUUAUAACUCCACCUCUAUGACCUCUUUUUAUUGGUUGGCCGCCACAAACACUAAACCCCUCUUCUUCUUUUUUUGAAAGAAACUAGAAAAGGCUUCAGUUUACCCAUGCAUGAUCGUUACUGGUUCAUGAGAUUGUUCUAGAAGAGACUCUAAAAUUAACAUAUUAUGUAAUCGUUUCAAGUCACUAUAAGUAUACUUUACUCGAAAAUGACUGCUUACCGCUUUAUAUUCAGUGGUGUAUAACCAAUAUGCAUGUGUUAAUAUGAUUAGUCCAUUUAGGCUGAUAUUCUUAAAAAAUCCCAUUAAGUUACUAGGGUUAGAUAAUGUCUUCCCUUACAACCCAUAUAUAACCAGUACGUUAAGAUAUAAGUCGGAUAAAUUUACUUACUUAAAUUGACAUCAUUAACACGACACACAUGAUAAGGGUGAAUUUGGUGGUUACAGUUAGAUUUUAUGGGCGAACAAAGUGACGUUUCUGAUUUCCAAUAAUGUCACCAUCGUAACGGUGUCAAUUAACUUACUUAACACAAGACACAAGUGGAUAAAACCUAAAUUUGCAUCCAUUCUCACCCAACUUUUUAUAGGUUCUCGGCAACCAAAUAAUUGCACGUUUCUUCUAGUUAUGACAUUCAACGAUCAUACAUAUUUACUAUUUAGAGAUGGAAAUUACAGUCUCAAUUAGCAACAUAUGAGAUAGCGAUUAAACCUACUACCUAAGGCUAACCACACCCAAGUAUAAUGGUUUUCAUUUUUCAAUAACAAUGCAGUGAAAGCACAUCCCUUAUUGAUCUUCAAUAGCAAAAGAGUCACCCCAACCAUCCGAAUUCGAGUAAAACACGAUUACCAUUUACGGCCCUAGUCAUUUUAACCUUUGAUGUUCAAACUUAGACAAACAAGUUUUCAAACCGUAAGCUUGUGUGCAUUUGCUGCAAAUGUCCUAGAAAUCCUAAACCGGGAUCUCAUAUCACGUGGUUGCUAGGUCACACUUGUGACUUGUCCGUCCUCAAUUUGGAUUUCUCAACCCUAAAUGACUCUGGUCAAAAUGACCUCCUUCUUCAUCAACAUGGUCCUCCAAAUAAGCUUUACCACCAGUCAAAACCCUAACCCCUAAUACCCUGUAGCAUCUGUCUCACUCCCUAAUGCUACCAAAACUCAUCUGGUUGGUUACACAUGAUAGAUAAUGUUGAGGGGUCUUCUUAAAGAUCUUCUGGUCCAUCCCAAAAUCCAAUUCAGUGUAUUCAAAUGGUUCAAGUGUAUAGAAGUCUAUGAUGGAAUGCAAUCAUGUUCAAUUUGCUAUAGUUCCUGUCCUUGAAGUUAGGUCACUCUCGAGUCUCAUGACCCUUUUUGUCACAAUCCUCAGGCAGCAAGAUCCAGACUAGAGAAUCCAAGAGGAUCGAGGGUUAGAUCAUUUUCGAUUCUUUUGUUUUGAUCGGAUUUUAAAUUUCGUUUCUACUAGACUACUACUACCGAUCUAACUUCGCUCAGUUAGUAAUACAAGAAUCGGAAUUAAAAUCUUAACCAAAUCACACCUACUCGAUGAUUUGAUUUUCAGAAAUUGAAGGGCAUGGAGAGGAUGAUGGGGUGCCUUGGUUGUGAACAUGAAAAGGGGACCCAGAUGUUUGUAUCACACACAUCUUUCCCAUGUGGUCUGCCGUGGAUGGAAGAUGUACCUGCACCUUAUCUUGGAUUUUCUUUGUUUGCACAGUUUGCACAAUCUUAAUGUUGGAUUAAAAUAGUGUAUGAUCUAUGUGGAUUGUUGUUUUCUAUAGUAAUGUGCCUUAACUCAAAGCCAAAGCCUUCAGAUUAGAUUAACAGGAUCAGAGAUGUGCUUCUUAUUGCAGUACCAAGGAGACGAAGGUGACCAUAUUCCCAGCACUGACUAGUUUCUCUACUUUCGAAGGAAGAUCAGAGCCCCUUUUCUUCACAUUCCCAAGAGAAUACAGCUUCAUUUGAUAUAAGAAAAUUCGAAUGGGGGGUAUUGUUCUACUUAUGAGUGAAUCCAGCUUGGUCAUUUUUGCGAUGGAUUCCCCUCAUGCUUAGGAAAGAAUGAGAAACUAGCUAUUUUGCUGAACUAGCUCCAAUGUUUUUGCGUAGAUAACUGCAGCCAGCAUUUCACUUCACCCUAUUUAACGAUUUGUAUGUAUGAGUCACGAGCUUAGAGAUCAGAGUACUUUUGGCUCUUGAAGUUUGGAGGAUAGGUUUGUUACCUCAUCCUAAAACUGAGAUUCACAGCACUUCACCACUUCUUUUUUUUUAUCAAAUGGGUUGCAUUCAUACGGAAGAAGUUACAAACGAUAUGAAUAAUACAAAACAGAGCCACUAAUUGAACUCUUAUAACAAACAUCAGACUAAAGGACCCGACCCUAACUUCUUACUAGAGCUAAAUCUCUUGUACACCAUGAGGCUAAGAAAAUGGUCAUCAAAACCAGAAGAGUCAACCGACAUAUCGCCAACGAAAUGGCUUCUAUCUCUUGAAGAAAUAAGAACAUGAGUCAACUUCUUCAAGAACAUGAGUCAACUCCGCCACCUAAGUAGUGAACACUCGUGAUAAAGAACGGGUGAAAACCAUCAUCACUCAUCAAUGGUGUUUGUAAAGAGCCAAUCAAGUAGAACGACCACAAAGGAUCAAAAGAGCUAAACACAAAAACAAAACAAAAGAUAAAAACAAAACACACAGAAACAUAAUGAAGUGCAGCAGCCCAGCCUUGACCACCGAGCCCAAAUCUCAACAUAGGCCCAGAAAUCUGUAGCCUACCCAAAACCAGACCCGGUCCAUGGCCUAGAUUCGCUUCACCUGCCUGCUUCCGUCGACCCACCACUCCUCCAUCAACACCUCUGCCAUCUUGCCCCACUCAGAUCGACGAGGCCGCCACCAUCAAGUCUGCGGCCAAAGCUUCCAAACUCGGUUGCACCUCCCUGAGAUAACUCGCCGUAACCCAACCAGAGACACGAUAUGACCUCAGAUCACCUAUUGAUCUCUGAUGCAUCCACGAGAAACUUAGACAGACCCGAUCUGAACAGAAGGAAACCGGAUCGGGUACUACAGACGCCGGAACAACCACGAAAAUCCCAUGCCGGAACGGAUCUGAACCCUUCCCCUACCACCAAAGUUGGAUCUACAACUUCCAAUCCCACCUCUUCCUUCCUUCCAACUCGCCCACCAACCCAGACAAAAACAGGAGAAGAAGACGAGCAAAAUUGGCGCGCACUCCAGCUAAACGUUUCCUCUCCCGGGCUAAGACAUUGUGGCAAGGCCGCCGACAAUGUUCAGCCGGGAAAGAGAGGCUUUCUCUCUUACUAGGGUUUUUUCCUUAGGCGCGUUCUAUUUUCUAAAGGCAUGUGUAUCAGAAUGGGUGGUCGAAAUUGAUAGGACUUCACCACUUCUUCAGGAGCGAGAGGUUAUGAGAAUUUAAGAGCUCAAGCAAAUAAAUCUACGAGUCUACAACACUCAACAUCUUUUGAUGUACUGAAUAAUCAAAAAAUAUACCUUAAAGUAAAAUUGCCUAGCACAAUACCAAUCAAAAUCUCUCUGUUGAUUGAGAACGAAAUUGAAUUAUGAUAUACAACCUUUUCGGCAAAAGCUGCAAGUUUUAAUUUUCUGACCAAAAUCUGUUCAUCCUGAAAUCAUGAUCUUUAAGCAAAUUUAGAACAGAGAACUCAAAAAUCUAGACUUGAUCAUUUUGUUGGAAAACUGCGGAAUCUAUUCAGAAUUAGUUGACCUUAAGUGGUGUAAUUUGGCUCUCAAUUCACAGUACUUCAUAUACUGUAUAAAAUUGCAUGAUUCUAGACACCAACACAUAAAUUCAAAAUGAGACUCACCAGCUUUACUACGUCAUUCUAAAAUGAGAUUCACCAGCAUCUUUGGCUUUGGAUCAGUACGUCAGUUACGACACCAUCCUUAUGUGAGCUCCACAUAAGGCACCAACUUGUUAUAUUGAGGAGAGGUAACCUUCGGCCCUUUGCAUAUUGAGCGAAGAGACGCAAAAAUGUCGGAGAGAGAAGACGAGACAACGCGGGAGAGAAGAGAAUUCAAGAAUCAAACAACAUAUUCCAAAACUUUGGAGACAAGACUUCCAGCCAAAAGUAACCACAAAUUUAUGAAAAUUGCACCCCACCCUGUAUAAGAAAACUCUUGAAUUGUACCAGAUAAACCCUUAAUCCAACUGAAAAAGAUGAAACUGGUACAAAGUUCAACCGAAAUGGCGUAACAAUGUUUGCAACAUUAUUCUUUUUUAACAGGAUACAUAAUUAAAGCAGUUGCUCGAAAAAAUAUCCCACAACAUAUCAAAUAGUGAAUACCAGGAUAGAUACAAGUCUGCAUACUAGAAGGAAUCAUACCAGGAUGAAUCAGGCAAGCAAAAGAAUACAAUACUUGAGGGAGCUUAAAAUUACUACUGUACCAUCUAUGGAAUUAGUUUUUCACUGUUGUGACUUGCUUCAGAAGCAUCUUGACAACAUCACCUGAUAUCCUUGAGCCCUCUGUUGACAGGUGAUUGAUCUUUUCCGCAGUUUCCACUUCAAGGCGCUUCACAUUGGCCCCAGAAUCUCCACUGCUCUGCUCAGUAACAAGCAACGAAAGAAAGGGAAAAAUUACCACAGAUAUUGCCAAUAAAAAUAAAUCUAGAAAACACUCGAGUAGAAUGGUUUUGCCAAUGUCAGUCAUCCACAUCGUGCAUGGAUGAUAGGCAGUCAUUUACCAUGCAAUCCAGAAUUUGCCCCAUGAGCAUUACAACUGCAUGGAUGACUGAUGCUAGCAAAGGUACCAAAGCUCAUACAUAUCUGAAGCUCUAUACAUGAAAAUGGAAUUUUAAAGCCAUGACCAUCUAAUGAACAAUCAAUAUAUUGCUUUCACCAAUAUAUACAUACCGCUGCAAGUUUCUUCUGGAAUUCACGCUCCACUUGGGCACGGUAAUCAGCGAUCUCCUUUUCUGCCUCGUCUUUGGCUUGUUUCAGCCUAGCGAGUUUUGCUAGCAGAAGGCAACCAAACACCAAAGCAAUUAGAAAACAACUCAAGAUACUGGAUUUCAGUGUCCAUCUAGAAAACCAGUACAAAAAAAAAAGAAAAAAGGGUAAUACCGUAACAUAACCGCAUAACCACCAUACAAAGGUUCUAGUACUCUAGUAGUAAGCUAGCAGCCUAGGACAUAAUUCGCCUAACCAAAACUCUAAAUUCGUCAAGACUGCUAGAACAUUAACCCCUCUCAUCUCUACUGACUCUAAAUAUAACCUCAUGGAGAACAAAGAGCAUCUCUCGCAACAAGGAAGUAAUUCCAAGAACACAAUCUUCCACACAACUUCUUAACCCUCUAAUUGAUCAACACAACAAUCAGAAUUUGCAAAUACACAAUCACUGCAGGAGAUCACACCAAAACACCCUGCAUAUAUUGCCAUACAUAACUCAUCAACAAUCAAAGAAAAAGAAACAAACUUUACCAUUUCUGGCAGCAUUGACGAUAUGCUGAGCUUCCUGCUCUGCAGCAAGCAAUUGUUGAAUUCCACCUUGACCCCUGUUCGAUGCUGAUGCCAUGUUUUCUGAAAUAAUAUUAAGGUUUAUAACAAUACUGCCCAAAAACAUAUCAAAAUAUACAUUACAUACAAUAAUUCAGUAACAAAACAUACAAUCCAGCACGUAUGGCGCAUCAAAACUUGAUUUCUCAGAUCAAGAUUUUUCUUUUUAAGCCUCUGAUUUCAGAAUUCUUACAUUCACAUAAUUAACAUAAUCAGUAGAUCUCUGAUUGGGUAGAGAGAUUCAUCCAAAUCAAAAGCAUUGGACACAGUUAGGAUAGUAAACUGAAUGAUCGAUUCGUAUAACAGCAACCUAAAAGGGAUCGGAGCUCAAAAGCAAUAGAAUCUCAGCGAUUUUCUGAGAACUAAAAGCAAUUGCUGUCGAUUAAAACAUAUGGAUCGCAGAGAAAUUAAGCAGAGCAUGGAAAUAUAGAGACAGAGAAGCGUGAAGUGAGUACCUUUAGAGGAGAGUAGCGAGCGUUGGGCUUGAGAUUUGGGGAGUGAAGAUUCAGAGAUAAGCGGGGACACGGAUACGAAAGACCUGUGUGUACCUUAUGUAGAAACGGAGAUGACCGUAAACUAACCCAGUUUACGCUGGUAAAUAUUCAUCCUACCCAAACGGAAACCCCAACACAAUUGGGCUUUGGGCUUAUCCAUACUACACACGUAUAUUUCUUCCAUUUUAAUAUGCAUGUAAAAUUCCCCGAUAUUUCAUUUUUAGGAAAAUGCUCAUUUGCACAUAAACAAGGAUUUUAAAGCCCAUUUAAAUGAAAAUAAGACCUCAUAGCCCAUUCCAAUGAAACUAAGUAAAAAGAUGACCUUACCCUCGCUACAAUUCAACUAAACCUCUCUCUUUUACAUCCCGAUCUGAUUUCUUCUCUCUCUCUCUCCCUCCCCCCCCCCCCCCCCCCCACCCGUCGAUACGACGACUCAGCCGAGAAGGUUGACCAACUCCUCCGCCAUCUCCAACGACACAAAGAUGGAGAAGAUGCAAAUCCAGAAGAAACGAGAGGAAGAGAUGCGCGAAUUAUAGGGCUAAUCCGCCGCCGCCUCCUCCGACGUCGCAACCGGUGGUGGUGCACUGGUGCUUCCACCUCCGAGUCAAACCCUAACGCCGCCGCGAUCACCACUUCUGUCCCGCCAUCCUCGGCCUCCAAAGCCCCAACCGACGAGGAGAAAAUUGAGAGACUCGAUCUCGGACUUGACGAGAUCGGGAGGUCGUCGGCGUUGUCGCAACUGAGGAGGUAUUACUUCAUCAGCAUAUGAGAUACUAUUAAUUCAAGAUCUCUGUAUGGUUUGUGUUUUGGGUAUUCAAACUCGUAUGUGAGAAAAUUGUUUUGCUUAAUUCAAAGUAUCUCAUGUUGAUGAAAUAUGGCUGCAUUGAAGUUGUGACUAGACUCUUGGUAUCUCAUGUAAUUUUACAACACUUCGCAAUUUACUUUUCAUCUACUUUCAUUGUCAUUGCACCUGUAUGGAGUUUGAAAAGGUUAUUAAGAGUCAGUAACUGAUUAUUGGGGGUCAAUAACUGAUUAUUGAGGGUCAGUAACCAAGUUAUUGGGGAUCAGUAACUGAUUAUUAGGGGUCAGUAACCAACUUAUUGAGGGUCAGUAACUGAUUAUUGGGGGUCAGUAACCAAGUUAUUAGAGUCAGUAACUGAUUAUUGGGGUCAGUAACGGAUUAGUGGGGGUCAGUAACUGAGUUACCGGUGACGGAAAUCCGGUGAUCGGAAAAAAUCUGAGGUACUAAGGGUCAAUAACCGACGACCGAAGAAAUUUCGGCAACCAAUGAUCGGAGUCUGGCGACCGGUGACCGGAGUCCGAUGACCGGUGACCGGAGUCCGGUGAGGUUCCGGCAAAGUCUUCUCACCCUUUCACUUUCUCUUUCCUUAUACAUGUUAAAGUGGUGAGGGUAAAAUUGUCUUAAAAAUAUACAAAAAUUAUUAUUUUUUUAUGACUUUAAUAUAGAUUUGUGUAUUUAGGCACAAAUAAGAUCACUUUAUAUUGGAAUGGGCUCAUGUAUAUUAAAUUUAUUAGAAUGAGCAAUAAAGGGUUUAAAUUAGUACUAAAUGAGCAUUUUUCUUUCAUUUUUUGUCUAGGCAAUUGAGCACAUAUCUCACCGAGUGACUCGGGUGAACAUAAUUAGCAAAUUAGAAUUGUGUGUUUCGAAUUAUCAGUUAUCAGUACCUUUUUUUUAAAUGUAUGAUUACUCUAUAUCGAGUUACAGAAGGUGAAAAGAGUUUACGAAUUAAAAAAUUACAUAUUAAAUAUCAACAUGUAUGAACCUCAAAUAAUUAAAAGUAUAAAAAUUUGAACCGGUCGGCAUAUUACCAAUUUAUUUUUUAUUUUUUUUAUUAAAAUUACCAAUUUAUUUUGAAUAAGUUCUUCAAAUUACUUUAUCAAUACAUAGUUCAUCCAUCCAUUAAUAUUCGGGGUGCAAGUGUCAUAGGAGAUUGAUUUUUUUUUUUUUUUUUUUUGGAAGAAAGAUAGGAGAUUGAUUACAUGCCAAAGAAAAAGAAAAGAAAAAAAAGUCUUGGGGUUAAAACUUCCAACUGGAAAUCCAUAUGGCUAAAGCAUUAAUUCAUAUCACCAAUAUUAUGCAGUUUAAACUUGCAGUUGAUACAACGUCCCUAGCACACGAGCAGUAACACUGUAUUGCAAUUACAAAACUUGAUAAUGAUAAAGAGAUCCUAAAUACAUAAAAUUCUUGAAGGCAGAGUACUAGUGUCUCAGAGAUCCUCUCUCUUAGCCAAUUCGUAAUCGUAGUCUGCUUUUGACUUGUUAUAUUUCUUCUUAUUGAACACAAUACCCGCCAAUCCAACCACGCACACAGCACCAAGAACAAAACCAACCAUUGUUACCCUGUUCUUACUCUGCUCCGAACUAUAAUACUCAUCGUCAAAUUCAACACUCUCGUCCUCCGCUCUGUAGUUGGAUGGCAGUACAGUAGGGUUAGGAGCCAUGUCAGAGUCAGGAGAACUAGCAAUAGGCUCAGUAUCUGAUAAUGGUUCGGAUCCGAACACAGAAGAUGGUUCUGGUGCCGGAGCUUGAGUUGGAGUGUAGAGCUCGUAGACUUCAGGAGCCUCAACUUCAGCGUAAGGAGGAGAAGAAUGGUAUUGUGUGAAGUAAGGAGCUGGGGAAGGAGAGUAGGCUGGAGAGAGAUUGAGCUGCUGUGCUUCUUCUGCUGCUAAGGCAUCGAUAUAAGGUGGUGGUGGUGGUGGAGAAUAUUCCGAUGCAUCUGAAGAGAGCGAAGCAUCUCCUCCGCUUUCAGGAGGCUCGGAAUAAGGAGACGGAGAUGAAGAAGAGAAUGGAAGCUCAUCGUCUGCCGGCAUUGUGUAGUUUGCCGCUGAGGCGGCCAUUGUUACAGAGAGCAGAGUAAUGAUGCAGAAACAUAUCUUGGAGAGCUUGGCUGCCAUGGUGUUAAUGAUUUUGCUUUGUAUGAUAAAAUGUGGCUUAGGAAGAUAUUGUAAAACUCUUAUGGCUGAAUGUUGAAGAAGGGUUUGUUCUUAUAAAUAAAGGUGAUGAAAUAAGAGAUCCGGUAGCAAUGACAAGUUGGAUUUAGAAUGUGUUAGUUGGUGGGAGACGGGUUCAAUUCGGAAUUUAAAUUCCGACUAUGAAAUAUUAGUGGUGAAAGGGUUGCUUAGACAAUAUUUACUUAUGAUUAUUAAUGUUUGAUUUGAGAACUUAAUGCCGGAGGUGAUAAGCUAAUAACGAAAGCUAAUAAUAAUCGUUGCAUCGACAUGCUGAAAGGAACUUGCAGGAUUGAAAUUCGACCUGUGGAUUGGAAAUAAUGCAUAAUUUAGUUGUGUUACUUGAGCAAAUAGUAGAAGAGCAACUCUAACGGUCUAACCUGAUAAAAAAAAAAAAAAAUCCAUAUUAUUGGUUUUCAAAAUUGUUCUAAAUUUUGGGGUAUCUUGAUUGUUUUGCUUCAAACAGAUUCCUUAAAAUUUUGGGAAAAUGUCUAAAUGCAUAAAAAUAAGAAAAUCAAAACUCACUUGAAUGAAAAUCUAAUGUCUAUACACUACCAGAAGAAAGGCUUUAGCCGACGAAAAUAAAAAACCAGGCCGACGAAUUUUUUUUUUCGCGGCUAAAGUCCACUUUAGCCGACGAAUUUUUUUUUUGUCGGCUAAUUUAAAAUUUUCGUCGGCUAUGGUCAACUUUAGCCGACGAAAGUAAUAUUUCAUCGGCUGAAUAAUUUUUUUCAUCGGCUAUAGUCUGUGAACUUUAGCCGACGAAAUUUUUAAAAGUUUAGCCGACGAAAUUUUUAAAACUUUAGCCGACGAAAUUUUUAAAAGUUUAGCCGACGAAAAAAAUAUAAUUUCGUCGGCUAAAGUGCCUUAUAUUUGCAGAUCUAGACAACAACUCAUAUGAGAAAAAAAAAACUAUACGUAGAACCUUCAAACGCAAAAAAGUCGUGAAAUAAGAUAUGACCAGAACGGUAAAAUACGACUACGGUUGAAAAAUCACAGUAUUCCGGUAAAGUCUUGGUGCCGAUAGUUGACUUACCCUUACUAUUCACUAUGCUGCAGAUUUGGCGUUUAGUGUCUGAUUGACUAUUGUGAUACCUUUCUGGAAGCGUAACGGCGCUACGAGUGAGACUCAUCGCUAAUGCCAUGAUGUAUAGGCUUUUUUGGCCAUCCGAGUCCGUUUAGGGCUUGAAAAUGCAGUUUUCUUAUUUUCGAUUAGAGUUGACCGUUUCGAUCAAGCCCUGAACGUUGUCGAAUCCAGUUGAAUUUUUUACCAUAGACAUCUUUCGUCAUAAUGAUCAUAUCUGACGGUCGAAUUUUGGUUUGUGAAUUUUAGUCAUCGGAAUCACAACGUGUCUACUAUUUACCGUUAUUCGGGUUUAUGGGGAGCCCUAUCGUCGGAAGGUAAAUGUCUCAAAUUUUAUAUGGGCAGUUUCGUCUCAUCUACAUGAGAGUUUUUUGUGUGGAAGGUUUGACCNNNNNNNNNNNNNNNNNNNNCUUCGAUUUCUUCUAGAAAGUUGUUCGAAAUGUUGAGACGAAGAUUCUGUCAAAUUUUUGGUCGUGAUUGGAGGUGGCCGAAAGUUUCUGCAGUUUUUUUUCAAAACCCAGCAACUUUAGCCGACGAUAUUUAAACACUAUAUUCGUCGGCUAUAGUAUUUUUUAAUUUUUUUAUAAGGUUUAGCCGACGAAUUAUGGCAUUGUUCGUCGGUACUAUUAAGUUUAUUUUUUAAUUUUUUAUAAGGUUUAGCCGAACGAAUAUAGUAAUUCGUCGGCUAUAGUUAUUUUUUAAUUAUUUAUUACACACUUUAGCCGACGAAUAUAUUAAUUGUUUCGUCGGCUAAAGUCUGGGAAAAAAAACCGACGACAUGUUUUUCGUCGGCUAACUGUGGGACUAUAGCCGACGAAAAUAAAAAUUUCGUCGGCUAAAGUCAUCACCGACGAGCUUUUCCCGACGACACUAUAGCCGACGAGCCUUCGUCGGCUAAGAUCUUAGCCGACGAAUUAAGAUAACAGGCCGACAAAAAUUUUUCGUCGGCUAAAGUGCUUGUCCUGGUAGUGAUACCCAUUUCAAUGAUUAUUAAGAAAAAAAUCAUUCUAUCCUUAUCUUAUUCAACUAACCUAUCUAUCUGCUUUAUCUCACCGGAUCUGAAACUUACUACACCUCUCUUUCUCGAAACCCUAAACCCUAAACCAUAUAUGACAUUCUAAUGUCAUUACAACCAUUACUAUAUAACACAAACUUCACACUUUUAAACAUGAUAUAAAAGUGCACAAACUAAACACAAGACAUUCAAUACUACAUCAACGCAUACACUAAUACAGAAGUGGAACACUAGGGAUCAUGAUUCAAUAAGCUUCCUCGAUAAUAUUGGUGGAAAUUAAAGAAGUAUGUUUGAAUAAUUAACUUUGAAAUUAUUUAGACUAUGAACCUGUUUUUUCUUCUGUUCAUGGAUUUCAAGUAUUGAGUUCUAGUUAUAUCAUGAUUAAUAAUUGGGAUGAAUGUAGUAAAACCCACUUUUGAGGUGUAGUAUAACAAGUUUAUGGCGACAAUUUGGGAACUAAAAUUCAUAGACUCAUAGUGCAAGAUGCUAUAGCAUAUAUAUUGUAUUGAGGAGAUGUUGGCUACUACUCUUUCUCACUGAAAAAUCCAAAAUCAUAUUGUUGUAAAAGGAUUAUUAGACCAACCAAGUCUGUCAUUUUUAGACAUUGGAUAUCCAGUUUUAUGGAAAAUUCUAGUAUACUAUAUGAUAUAACAUGCCUUCCAAAAUAAUAUAGCAUGCCUCCCAAAAUAAGGAAAUGCUUAUUUAGUACUAAUUUAAACCCCUUAGAGCAACUCCAGUAAAAGUGUCAAAGUUUUUGGUCAAAUUUAAAUUUUGACAUGUGAGAUGGAUUUUGACAAUUUGGCAAAUUUUCACUCCAACCAUUCUAUUAAAAGAGUUGAAUAUUUUAUUGUUAGAUUUUUAUUAUGAAACCUCAACUAUUCUAUCUCUCCUAGUCUCUCACAGAUCAAACUCAACUCAAACUCAACUGCUUAUGAUCUCUUUCUCAUCGAUCAAACACAAAAAUCCUAUUUUCACUGAUCCAUUUCAUUACUUUGGGACUCCACUAUCGCACCCACUACUCCUUCUCCUUCUCCUUCUCCUUCAUCUGCCCUCUCUCUAUUUCUCAUUUUCUCUCUUCAUCUUCUUCGAUCUCUUCUGUUAUCUUUCCCUUUUUCCUCUUUUAGUUUAUAUGUGAGAUCAAAGAAGCAUCAAUAUCGUGAAUACAGUCCCGAUCCGACCUCAAGAUGCGACAUGCAUGACAAUCACACCUUAAAUCCAAUCCGUGAGUUUUUCAUUUUGAACUCUCAACCCUCCAAUCUCUUUUCUUUAUUUCCCCAAAUUUGAAUGAAAAAUAUUUUGUCUGGUUUGAACGAAGGUCUGGGUGCGAAAAUUUUGUCUGGGUGCGAAAUUUGGGUAUUGUAGGAAGAAAUACAUGGACUAGAGGAAGAUUUGAAGGCCUGCCAUGAACAUCGAUCUGGGCAUAACGACGGUGAGAAGAGAAGGAAAAAUGGAAAAGGAAAAACAAUAAAAAAAGAUUUGACAAGAGGAGUUGAUCUUGUCAAGUUUGACAAGGUGAGACUGGAGUAGUCAUCCACGGUGGAUUUGAACGGUGGGUUAGAGAGACAGGGUGUGGUCUUUUGUUAACGUUGGAGCUCCACGGUGGAUUUUGACUACACCGUUGGAGAUGCUUUUAUUGCCCAUUCCAAUGAAUUUAUUAGACAUGAGUCAAUCUAUUCUAAUAUAAGGUGUUCAUAUUUGUGCCUAAAUACACAAAUCUAAAUUAAAGUCAUAAUAAAAUAAUAAUUUUUGUAUUUUUUAAGACAAUUUUACCCUCAUCACUUCAACAUGUAUAAAAGAGAGAAAGUGAAAGAGUGAGAAGACUUUGCCGGAACCUCAAUGGACUCCGGUCACCGGUCGCUAGACUCCGGUCACCGGUCGCUAGACUCCGGUCACCGGUCGCCAGUCUCCGGUCACCGAUCACUGGACUCCGGUCAACGGUCACCGGUUCCCGGUCGCCGGAAUUUCUUCGGUCGCUUGUUAUUGACUCCUAGUAACUCAGAUUUUCUCUGGUCGUCGGAUUUCGGUCACCGAUAACUCGGUUACUGACCCCUGAAAACUUGGUUACUGACCCCCAAUAUUUGGUUACUGACACUCAAUAAUCAAUUACUGACCCCAAUAAUCAACUUAUUUCAGCUUAUUGUAAUAGAAAAGAAGAAAUACCGGAACAUAAUGGAGUUAUUGACCCCAAUAUUAGUUAUUAACCCCCAAUAAAAUGUUGAAACAUUAUUGUGAGGCCCAUAAGGGCAUCCAAACCCCCAACCCAUUGUCAAGGACCCAAGCCCAAACCAAAAAAUUGCUCUGGGCACCCAAAGCUGGCACCCACACACUUCCCGGCCGCCAUUGUCGUCGACUCCGGCGUCCAACCUUACGCCAAUCGUCACCCAUCCAUUUCUGUUCGGAUCCAGAUCUUCAUUGGCUUCAGGCCAGAGCAGACCUGGCGUAGAUGAACGCUGAUCGACAAGCGCCGAACGCCAACUGCUGAGCGACAAGCGUUGACCGCCAAUCGUCGAGUGACGAGCGCCUACUGCCGUGCGAUGAGCGCAGAGCGACGAGGCCUCGGUCUUUGGGAAGAAAUCAAAUUCUAGAGUUUUGGAUAUGCAGAGUAUUACGGUGAUUCUCAACAUAUCUCACUUGGUGACGGUGUCCAUGCGGCGGAGGAGCGACGACACAGCUUAAAGAUCUCACCGGCAGCAGAGUUUAGCUCGGUUCACGUCUUUAAGGUAGCGGCUUCGUCGUUGAGGGCUCGAGUCUCUGAUUCAAGAGAGAGAGAGAGAGAGAGAGAGAGAGAGAGAGAGAGAGAGAGAGANNNNNNNNNNNNNNNNNNNNGAGAGAGAGAGAGAGAAUUCUAAUCGGAAAAGGAGUGAGAGAGGGUAGUUGAAUAGGAGUGGAAGUAAAUUCGUCUUUUGUUCGAGUUUCAUUGAAAUGAGCUCAUGAAUAAGAUUUGGGUGCCACCCUACCAAAUACUUUGUUUACCCCACAUUUCAAUUUUAAACUAAAUAUUUAAAUACUAACCCCACAAUCAAGAAUUUUUGUGAAAUAUAAUAUUUAACUAAAAUCUAUAAAAUCGAAAUAACAACAAUUCUCUACAUCUUUACAUUGGGAAAAAAAAAAAAAUUCUCUACAUCUUUCAAAUCAGAUUUGAGAAUCACUUAAAUCUUUAACAUGGUGGUAAUACAGCGUGGUGUGACUGUUCGUUCUUAUUUUUAUUUUAUUUAUGGCUUAAAAUGUAGUCUUUCAUACAUAUAUAUAUAUAUAUAUAUAUAUACACAGUCUNNNNNNNNNNNNNNNNNNNNUAUAUAUAUAUAUAUAUAUAUAUAUAUAUAUAUAUAUAUAUAUAAUACGUAAAAAGGAAAUCAAGAAAGAGAUCGAGGAGAACAUAUAUAGGAUGUGGUUUGAGAAGAAUGGAGGUCUGCAUCAAAUAUAUUGAUGAGAUAUUUGUACAUAUUUUUAGAUUUUAUCAGAUUGAGAAAAAUAAAAGAAAGAAAAUAAAAACUAGAUUUUCUCAAAAUUUUAAGGGUAGAAUUAGAACGUUAAAGGCAAAAAAUAAGGUGUGGGGUGAACUGAGCAUUUAGUGGGGUGGAAAUAACUGCACCCAUAAGAUUUUCAUUGAAUUAGGUUCUAAUUUACUUGUUUUUGUGCAAAUGGGCAUUUUCCCCACAAAAUAUGUGGCUAUCAUUGAUUAAAGAAGCAACUAAAUAACCAUGUAAUGACCAUUUAACCCCUCAAAAACCCUCAUGUGUCAUACAAUUAGACACAUUUACAAUAGGUAUGUCAUACCAUAUGGUAUGAUAGACAAACCCCAGUUAAAUACCUCAUUAGCAAUCUAUGAAUCAAAAUAGAGCAGAACAUUAUAGUCUAACACUGUGCCAUUUCUUGCAUCAGGCGACACAACUGUUGUGUCACCUGAUAAAAAUCGUAAGUGUCGCCUUCUAACAUGUCGUUGAUGAGGUUCUCCGACAACACAAAUGUUGUGUCGCCUAUAAGAACCUCAGGCGACAGAAGACUUUUUUCAUUUUGUGUCGCCUGAAUUAAGAUAAGACGACACGGUAUAUAUGUCGUCUGAUAGUUUAAACAAUGACAUGCUAGAAGGCGACAUAUCUUUUUUGCCGUGAGGCGACACAGCCCUUUGUGUCGCCUUAUAACUGCGAGUGAGAGAGAAAUACGCCUUACACCAACAUAUAUGUGUAGGUUAAUUUAUUUAAAGACGACAUUUAAACGUCAUGUGAAAAUGUUACAGGCGACAUAUACUUGGUGAAUUAAACUGUAAACUUUUUCACGCUACAUUUAUGUGUCGCUGGAUGAACCCACACGACAUACUAUUGAUGUUGUUUCUAGUCUAGACGUAGUACGACGACACAUAUGCAUUGGAUGAAUGAUCUUCAGGCAACAUAUAUUUUUUUUUUUCUAUUUUGGUCUCUUUAAGACAAUAGGUAUAUGUCGUCUGAUAUGCUUUAAACUUUCACUACAUGAUAUUUUUUAGGCUUUCGACAUUUUCAGGCGACAUUUGUCUAUCGUAUGAAUGAGCUUGAGCGACAUAUAAAUGAUGUCUUCUUUUGAUUUAAACUCUCCAUUUACGUUGCCGAUUGUUCUUUAUGGCCUCACAUUUCUGGUAUCUUAACUUAGUAAAAAAAAUUACAUUGAAUGAUUAUCUGAUCAAAUGCAGAAAAUGAAAAAUCUUAUUGGCAAUAAAUGUUAAGCAUCACAAUGAAAAAACACCAUUACUUUGUACCCAAUAGACAAUACAUCAAUCAAUAUAAUUUUUAUAGCUCUGCAUAUUUUGCAAAAUUGUAUUGUAUGUGUCUAGCUACCAACAGACUUCCAAAAUAAAGUUCACCCUCACCUCAUUUAAAAGCUCAAAAUGGAACUCUAUAAUUUACACUCAGCACCCAAAAGGUGUUUAGCUGCACUAACACUUUCAUCGCCAACGUACCUUGCCAAUUUCAUAUAUCAACCAUGAAUGAGAAACUAACCCAAAGCCAUAAACCAAAUUUGUAAACUCAGCAGCUGCUCACCUUAAUAUCAAAAUCCUAAAAAUGAUCUCAGCCUCUCUAAAGAAGGACUCAGCAAUCUGCGGCCAAAUGAACCAAAAGAGGAUAUGAACCUGAGGUUCAUUCCUCUACCACCAACGCAGUAGCUCUGCCCAAUUCUCCUUUCAGCCUCUUCUUUCCUAUUAGUGAAAAGAACAUAUCUAAGUCACCCAAAACAACAACCCAACAACCAACUCAUAAACAACUCAAAUCCCAGAAUCUUAAUAUUUUCAAGAACACAGAUUCCCCAAAGUUGAACCGAGAGGGGAAGUCACUUACCCAGACUUCUGAGGCUCAAGGAGAAGGUGGCCAAUCCAAUGGUCGGCGGCCGGAUGGAACUCGGAGCCGUCGUCAGUGUUAUUGGCUGCAACAAACUCGGAAACCACAAAACCCAAAUUGUUAAGUUGUACUCAAAUCGAAUAUCUAAUAACACAGGCCUAUAGAUAUAGUCAAGGAGAAGAAGAUUCUCACCACAUGGACGUGAAUUGGUCACCAGAAAAUGCAGAACAUAGCCGAGCUCUUCUUUUCAUUCAGUCUCCUUUGAAUUGGGUUGCGUGUGUGAUCUAUGGACUAGGUUUUGUAGAUGAGAAGAAGAGGAAGAGUUUGGUGGUGGUCUUGCCGUCUGGAUUAAUGGCCGGAAUCGGCGGGAGAGCGGCACAGAAGAUGGCUGUGGGGGAGAGAGAGAGACGGGUCAACCCUAGAAAUGGGCUUUUGACCGAAUUCAAGAACCUCAUUCCUUCUUAAAUGAGUUCGAAUUUGGGCAAAAUUUUGAGGGUGGGAAACAGCCCGCCAAAUAUUUGGGCAAAAAAUUUAAACUUUUGGUGAUUUUUUGAACCAUUUGCUCAUGAAAUGGGUUGACCGUCUCGAUCGAGACCCAAACGUUAUCGAAAAUAUGUGAUUUUUUUACCGUAACCAUAUUUCACUAUACAUAACACAUCCUACGAAAGGAUUUGCAAAACUCUAUUUAUAAGAUAUAGUUGCUUCACAAAGGCAUAUACUUGCAUAAAAGCCACUAAAUGAGUUAUAUCACAUUAGAAUACAUGUUGUGGUUCUAAUGUCUAAAAUUCAAAAUAUUAAAUUUCGACCGGCUGAUGUGAUCAGUGUAUUUAAAUACGGAUGUGGUGAAAAAUUCAAUUAAUUUUGAUAAAGUUUGGGUCUCGAUCAAUGUGGUCAACAUUAACUCAACUUUAUCUAAUUAAGCGAAUACGCUCUUACCCUCUCCUUCUUGACUAGUUUUGGUGGAUUCUUUCACGCACACACUCUCACAUGUAUGUGAUGUAGCAGCUUGUGUAAAAUUUUCAGAAAUUUUACCUUCCGAGGAUAGGGCUACCCGUAAGGGAUAAUAAAGCGUAAAAAGGGUUGAUCGCCUCGAUCGGGACACAAAUGUUAUCGAAUAUAUGUGAUUUUUUUACCGUAACCAUAUUUCACUAUACGUAACAUAUCCUGCGGACGGAUUUGCAAAAUUCUAUUUACAAGAUAUAGUUGCUUCACAAAUGCAUACACUUGCAAAAAGACCACUAAACAAGUUAUACCACAUUAGUAGGCAUGUUGUGGUUCCAAGGUUUAAAAUUCAAAAUAUUAAAUUUCGACCGUCAGAUGUGAUCAGCGUAUUUAAAUACAAAUAUGGUCAAAAAUUCACCUAAUUUUGAUAAAGUUUGGGUCUCGAUCGAUGUGGUCAACUUUAACUCAACUUCAUCUAAUUAAGCGAAUACGCUCUUACCCCCUCCUUCUUGAGUAGUUUUGGUGGAUUCUUUCAUGCACACACUCUCACAUAUAUGUGAUGUAGCAGCUCCUGUCAAAUUUUCAGAAAUUUUACUUUCCGGGGAUAUUGCUACCCGUAGGGGAUAAUAAGCGUAAAAAGGUUGACCGCCUCGAUCGGGACACAAACGUUAUCGAAAAUAUGUGAUUUUUUUACUGUAACCAUAUUUCACUAUACGUAACGCAUCCUGCGGACGGAUUUGCAAAAUUCUAUUUACAAGAUAUAGUUGCUUCACAAAUAGGUCAACUUUAUUUACGAUUAAAUUUCUAUAAGCUUUCCUAUAUAUGGGGAGCUAUAUAGUCGCUUGAUAAACUUGUCCAAAAUUUCACAUAGAUUAGUUUUGACAAUAUUGAAUGAGAGUUUUAGUGUUGACGAAUCGAAAAUAUAAGUCUCGACCGAUGUAGAUAAGAGCAUUUCCAUUUUGAUAAAUGUGUUGACUUUUAAAUUUUCACAAAUUGUCAAUUCAAUAAAAAUUCAAUAUCAGCCGACACAUAAAUAUUAUCUUCUUAACAUAAUUAAAUAAAAUUUUCAUACAAGUUGUCAAUUUAAUAAACUUCAAUAUCAGCCCACACAUAAAGGUUGUCUUAUCAACAUAAUUAAGUAAAUUUUUCACACAAGUUGUCAAUUCGAUAAACUUUAAUAUCAGCCAACACAUAAAUGUUGUCUUAUCAACAUAACUGAGUAAAAUUUUCACACAAGUUGCCAAUUCGAUAAAAUUCAAUAUCAGCCAACACAUAAAUGUUAUCUUAUCAAGAUAACUGAGUAUAAUUUUCACACAAGUUGCCAAUUUAAUAAAAUUCAAUAUCAGCCAACACAUAAAUGUUGUCUUAUGAACAUAAUUCAGUAAAAUUUUCACACAAGUUGUCAAUUCGGUAAAAUUCAAUAUCAGCCAACAUAUAAAUGUCAUCUUAUCAACAUAAUACAAAAUUCAAUAUCAGCCGACACAUAAAUGUUGUCUUAUCAACAUAAUGAAGUAAAAUUUUCACACAAGUUGUCAAUUCAAUAAAAUUCAAUAUCAGCCGACAUAUAAAUGUCGUCUUAUCAACAUAAUGAAGUAAAAUUUUCACACAAAUUGUCAAUUCAAACAAAAUUCAAUAUUAGCCGACACAUAAAUGUUGUCUUAUCAACAUAAUGAAGUAAAAUUUUCACACAAGUUGUCAAUUCAACAAAAUUCAUAAUCAAUCAACACAUAAAUGUCGUCUUAUCAACAUAAUGAAGUAAAAUUUUCACACAAGUUGUCAAUUCAACAAAAUUCAAUAUCAGCCGACACAUAAAUGUCGUUGUAUCAAUAUAAUGAAGUAAAAUUUUCACACAAGUUGUCAAUUCAACAAAAUUCAAUAUCAACCGACACAUAAAUGUCUUCGGAUUAACAUGAGUAAAAUUUAGACAAUUGAGACUAAAGUUGACCACUUUCUUCACCGACAUAUAUGUGUUGCCCCGAAAACAGACCUUUUUUUCAAAGAAAACUGGUAUUGUCUAAGUACACUUCCACCAACACAUAAAAAAAAUGUGUCGCCCCGAAAUCCCGAACCACACUUAAUUUCGCAUGUGUCGUCUAAUUGGUGUUGCCUGAUGCAGGAAAUGGCAUAGUGUAACUUCUUUUUAAGAUUUUUUUUUUCCAGUCUUUUAUGAAAAACCUUGAAGGUCAAGGUUCUUAAUUAACCGUUUUACCUUUGGAGAGCAAUAGCAAUUGAUGAUUGAGAAAAGUUGACUGAUGAAAAACCCUUCAAACUUGGCUUCAACAGUACUAUUUGAAAUGGGAUCGACUGAAUUUCGGUAUUUGGGUAGGAAGAAGAGAAUUGCGAUAGAACCGAUGAAUUAAGAACCGUAAACCUUUAAGGAUACUGUCGUUGAUACUUUAAAAAAAAAAUAUAUAUAAAGAACCGUAUGCCUUUUGCAUUUCACAUCUGCAUCACAGCAUGUACCUUUGCCACUUUCAGCACGUAGGAUUUAGAGUUGUAGUAUGAAUAUCAGCAAAUCAUCAAUUGAAAUUUCAAAAUCGGCAAGAAAAACCUACCCACAACUAACUUUUACUACUGUAUUCUCAAUAUGCUUCAUUAUAGAAAUGAUCUGAUUGCAAUACUAAGUUGAUGAUCAACUAGGAGCUCUAUGAGCUCUAUAGUGAUGUACUGUGUAGCUGGUGUGUGAAAGCAAGGCAGGGUCUCAGUCUCUCAGACGUCCUCCCUCCUGGUCAAUUCGUACUGGUCCUCUGAAAUUGGCUUACUAUCUUUCUUCUUAUUAUUAUAGACAAAACCAGCCAAUGCCACCAAGCAAAUAGCACCAAGCACAAAACCUACCAUCGUCAUCCGGUUCUUGCUUUGUUCCGAACUAUAUUCUUCACCUUCAAAAUCACCGUUCUCGUCCUCUGCUCUGUAAUCGACUGGCAAUACAGUAGGAUGUGGAGCUAAGGCUGCAGAGUCUGGAGAACCAGACCAAGUGUCAGCUGACUGAUCCGACCAAAAACUAGAAGACGGUUCAGGUGCUGGAGCUUGCUCAUAGACUUCAGGAGCCUCAAUUUCAAUAUUGUAAGGAGGAGAAGGGUAAUUGGUGAAGUAAGGAGAUGGUGAAGGAGAGUAGUCCGGAGAGAGAUUAAGCUGCUCUGUUUCAAUUUCAGCGGCUACAGCAUCAAUGUAAGAUGGUGUUGGUGGAGGAGAAUGUUCUGAUGAAUCUGAAGAGAGCAAAGAAUAUACGGUACUUUUGGGAGGCUCUGGAUAAGAAGACAGAGAUGAAGGAGAGAAUAAAAUCUCACCAUCUGCAGGCAUUUCGUUUGUCGAUGAGGCCAUUGUUAGGGAGAGCAGAAUUACGCAGAUUAAUAACUUGGAGAGCUCAGAUGCCAUUGUUUUUUAAAUCUUGUUGUACGUGUAUCAGUGUAUGGUUCAAUUUGGUUGAGAAACAGAAUGAGUAACGUUGCAGCUAAAUGCUAGAUAUCAGAUGCUUAUAUAAACUUCAUGAAAGGUAAAUGCAUUAUCUAUUGAUUCAAUAAGUUGCUGAAUGUAGUAAUUUCUGGAAAUAAAUGAGAUUUCAAUUUCGAGUAUGGCGUUUAAAUCAUUGAGGGGAAAGUGACUGUGACUUGUAUAUGAAGUAAUGUUGACAAGGCCCGUCUUGGAUGUAUUUCUUUCCAAUUUUUAUUGCUUGAUUUGAACAGCUAAUGUGAUGUGAUUAAUUUCAAUUAGUUGGCGUGGCAAUAUCAACUGAAUGAAAAAAAUUUCCAAGAAAAAAGAAAUGGAAAUCAUAGAUUGAAUAUUUGGGCUGUAAGAGCAUCACACAUUGUUUCUUGUUUGUUAUUUGUUAUUUGUUGUUUUUUUUUUUUUUGAAGAUUUGUUGUUUCUUGUUUGUUAUUUGUUGUUCUGAGCAUUAGACAAAUCUACUUUUGCUUGAAUAUACGGAAAUUCAGGGACAAAUCUACUUCAAUAUUCAAAACCAAUUCAUGUCAUGUUGUUUGAACCAAUAUUUGGCAUGACCUACGUGGCAGACUAAAUAGACGGGUCCAUUAAUGACCGCGGCUAUUAAUGAGUAAAUAUCGCGACUCAUCCUGUUAUUAAAGAUGAUAACCGCGGCUAUUGGUGUUUUGAGCCGCGAACACCCUAUGUUGAGCCGCGGACGUCUUUGUUGAACCGCGGACGCCUUAUGUUGAGCCGCAGACGCAAGCCGUGGCUCACCCUAUGUUGAGCCGCGGACAUCUUAUGUUGAGCCGCGGACGCUUUAUGUUGAGCCGCGAACAUGAUUGUUGAGCCGCAGACACCUUAUUUCGCUGCGGUUAUUCAUGAGUUACAUUGGCCAAGUAAGGAGAAUAAAUGUUAUAUCCUAUCAAACCCAUAUGAGAUCGACUGAUUGGUAUUUACAAGCUAAAUUACGGUCAAAGAUGACGCUUUCAAGGGAGACGUCACUACAGUUACCAAACUUGCGGCAAUCAAAUUGAAUGAGCUUUAUUAUAAUUUAAUCCAUGGUUUACCUGUAAUUCAUCCAUGUGUUCAAAGCUGGGAUUACGUUUUCUUUAUUUUACUUCACUAUAAAAAGGACCUUAGGAUUCUUUGUUAGAGGUCCUCGACCAAACGCUCUACGCGAUUACACAUUUUUAUCUUAAUACAAUUAAGGUUCUCAGCAUUACACAUAUCAAUUCUUCAGUGUCUAUCUUAUCGUUUUUAUUUACUGGUACUUGUCUAUCUUUGCCGCGAUUUACAUUAUCAUUCUUUACAUACUUGCAAUUUAUCUUACUGUUCGUUACUUUUCCGCAUUAUCGUUCCUGCAAUCUACAUUCGUGUUCUUUACGUUAUCUUUAAGUUUCCUGCAUUUUAUUUGCUGCACUUUACAUUCUUGCAUUUGCACCAUCACAACAUUCACCUAGUCACACAUCACCAAUAUCGGCUUGCUAGCCGAUCCGUGUUAAAGUCCUUGCAUCCAAGGCAGAGAGAACCCUACGACCGAGAUCGAUCCUUCCUCGGUCCAUAAUCGACUGAUCAGAAGUUAAGACAGUGCAUCUACAUACAUAUCAGAACAAAACCUCGCUUGGCCUCUCAGCCGCGAGUUGGCACGCCAUUGCACAUGUCACCAAGCCAGAAGGACACGUGUAGCCCAAAGAAGCCCUCGGCCCAUUGACACGUGGCCGGGACGAUUUUUGAGCCAACACAUGUAUGUGAAGACAUAGGGUAUAUUAUAGACAUAAAUUUUAAUUUGGAAGUGUGCUUUUCAAUGUGAUAGCACACUAUAUAGGUAUGUAACUAUGAAAAGACAAUGUUUGCUUUUGAAAAUACUCUGUAAAUUAAGCCUAAGAUAAGGUAUUUGAGGAAAUUAAUAUGUUUAUAUGAGUAUUUGAAACAAGUAAAUAAACCAAAACAAAUAAAGGUUCAGAUGAAUCAACUUGUUAAAUUGAUAGAAUUGUUAUGCAGUUUUUUGACUCAACUUUCUAUAAAAUCCAAAUCAACUAUAAAUUCUUGAUUUUCGUGUUUCUGUUUAUCAUUCUCUAUCUCUAAAUGUGAGGUAAAUUUAUAAUAUUUGUGUGAAUUGUCCAUAAAUAUUUGGUGAUUUUCUAGAAUUCUAGGUAGUUGUUCCAUCCCAUGUAUUUAUUCCUACAAGGACGAUACCAAUCAAUCAAGGCAUCAUAUAUUGGUAAAAAAAAAAAUCAGUUUAUCUUUCCAAAUAACAUCGAAAGUUCUUGUAUGCACCAUGGUGCAUGUGAACCAAUCAUGACUGACCAAUCACUAUCAUUCAUUUAAUGCAGUCAACUAUAUAACACUAACACCAAUACUAACACCGUUAAAGAGAAUUGAAACAAAAAAAAUUAAAUGAACAUGGUAAAAGUAAGGCUAAGGUAAAUAUUAAUUGGCAAUUAAUUCCAAAUCGCAAUUAAUAUGAUUUUUAAAUAUUUUAGCGAGAUUUUUUAUCCUUCUNNNNNNNNNNNNNNNNNNNNUAUCUAUUUAUUAUUUUUAUUGUUGUAUUUGUAAUAAAUAAUUUAUUUUUAAUUAAAAUUAACCUAAUUAAUCGAAUAUUCGAUUACAUUAAAGGGAAUAAACGUACAUGAGUCAACUAAAGUUGAAUCAAAAUUAUCUCUUGAGAUUAUUUUCAUCUUGUCGGAUUGAGCCAACUCCAUUUCGUUCUAUAGUUAUUUUUCAAAUUGAGCUAUAUUAUCUAAAUAAAAUGUUAUGUGAUGAUAUCAAAACAUAUGAUUCCAUUACUCAUGCUCAUCAACCUUGUAUAUAUUUUUUUUAGUUUUAGAAUCCUACAUUAUUUAGAUAAAGUUUGGUUAUGAGUAUCGUUAUUUAAUAUAGUACAUUUGAUCAUGUCGAUUGUGACACAAACGAAUAUCAUAAGGACAAUUAUUUUGCAUAGCUAUUUUAUCCUAAAUUGCAUUAUGUGAGAAACAAAAAAGACUCGAAUCACUCGACAUUGCCUAUAGAUACUUGAACAAGGACAAGUGUGGUAUGUAGAUCACUAUUGUACUGAUACUGUCUCAAUUUAACCAUCUUUAAAAAGUUGGGUUUUAACUAUAAAAAACUUCGGUACAAUUAGGUAUAAUUCAUACACUUAUAAGUUAUAUUUUUCUUUGUCCAUUUUCUGAUGUGAGAUCUUUCCUCUCUAACAUAUAUAUGGCUUGGUAAUAUGAAUCAUGUGAAAAAAGUAGUUAUGUUUAUCAUUGUUUAGGUUUGAAUUAAGACAACGAAUUGUUAAUUUUUUAUUUUCCUAAAAUGAAAUAAAUAACAUUCAAAUCCGAUAUCCAAAUUUUGGUGACUAUAAGCUUUGAUGAUCGAUUGCUGAACUUCAACAAUUAUUGUACAAAUUUUUGAUAUCUUGCCUAAUUAAUCGUGUAUUUUCUCUGUAGUUAAUUAUCAUGCUUAUUUAAAAAAAAAAAAAAUUAGGCCUAACUUGUAAAUCGUCAUUCUCAUAUAAAUACGGUUAAUACUUAUUUAAGUUAAUUACAGACAUGUUUUUAAACUUGCCUAGACCUAUAAUAUAUAUAUAUAUAUACACACACAUUAAUGUAAACCUCCAUAAAUUAAGGGUUUUUUCCCGUCCGCCAGUUUGUAAGGGAUUUUUUCCAUUGACUCCCACUAGCUAAAUAUUUAAUUUUUCUCUAUUUUUCUAACAAAACUGCCGUUCCUUCUCAAUCUCUCAUCUCUCUCUCCCCAUCUGGAUUUCUUCCAGAUCUAAUCCCUCUCUCUCUAGUCUCUCCCAUACCAGUCUCCCACAUCGACGACCAAUGCUGGCGGCGCUGCUAGACCCGAAAGCCGCUGAUACCAUAGCCUCUAGUCGGAGCUUCCGACGACGUGCGACGACGACAACCACCACCAACACCUCUCAAUGACUCCUCCUUCCACUCCCCAACCCUCGCCGUCAAAUUCCUUCGCAUCGAGAUCGUCCUCAAAGUCUAUUGUCGAGAUUAGCUUCGGCGGUCGACGUGUAUUGUUUUCUGGAGGCUGGGUUCUUGUGGAGAGUGAAAGAGGCUAGGUGGUAUUGUUUUCUGGUUUUUACUGCCGUAUUGAUUUUUUUUGUCGUUAACCAUCGUUAAUGAGUCUGUUAGUACAAUUGACUGGUUCAAGUGCACUGUGGUGCACUGAAUCCGCUCCGAAAAUGCAUAAUAUAAGAACCAAAAGGAAAAGAGACAAACCUAGAUCAUUCAUUUCUUGGUAAACAAAAUGAAUGCACAAAAACUGAAAGGUAGAAAGAACAGAGGAAAACAGAGCAUAACUAAGGCACAUUUAGAACGAGUGCCUGGAUUUGUUCACAUAGGGACAUAUCAGCACAACAAUUUACAAAUUCCAUGGUUCAAACUUCCGAAGUCUCCCACACGGCCACACGGCCACACCAAUAGAAAACGCUUCAAUUCUCCUUGAUAGAAUUAUACGUUGGAAGAGCUCCUAAAAGAACCCGAAGCCUUAGCAGCUCCUGCUCUCAAUAUGUUUUGGUGAUACAAAGCUGCAAUGGCUGCGCCAAUAAAGGGUCCAACCCAGAAGAUCCACUGCAACAAUCAUGAAAGAUAAGUUCAUCAAGUUUAGACUUUAGUCCAGCAAUAACGAAAUUCGUCUGCAAGUGAAAUUAUGAGCGUAAGGAAAAGGUGCAUACAUGGUCAUCCCAAGCCUUCUCAUUGUUGUAUAUCACUGCAGCUCCGAAACUUCGAGCCGGGUUGAUACCUGUGCCAGUGAUUGGGAUUGUGGCAAGGUGAACCAUGAACACAGCAAACCCAAUUGGUAGUGGUGCCAAUACCUUUCAUUGAUCAAACACAAAGAUAUAUUUAGUAACUUAAAAUCAAGUUUCUUUUCUUAACUACUGUAGAUUAAUUUAACUACUUACUGGGACAUGGGAGUCCCUUGCAUUUCUCUUGGGAUCGGUGGCAGAGAAGACAGUGUAGACAAGAACAAAGGUGCCUAUAAUCUCAGCAGCCAAUCCAGUGCCUUCGCUGUACCCAUCAGCUAGUCCAUUAGCUCCACCACCGUAGUUGCUGUACAAAGCACUCUGGAAUGAUUUCACAAGCCCACACCCACAUAUUGCUCCCAAGCAUUGAGCCACAAUAUACAAUACAGCUCUGGGUAGUGACACCUUCCUUGCCAAAAACAACCCAAAUGUGACAGCAGGGUUUAUGUGCCCUCCUACAUUCAAAAAUUGAUUAGAACAUUGUCAGCAGGCUAGGGUUAAUUUGAUUUUCUUGAAAUUAAAAGGUUUGAGAAUGAAAAGAGAUGAAGUUAACCUACCAGAGAUUCCAGCAGUGCAGUAGACAAGGACAAAGAUCAUGCCACCAAAGGCCCAAGCAAUGCCAAGAAUGCCAACACCACCACAUUGGUCUCCACCUUUGAGAGUGUCACUCUGGCUUUUGUAUCCAAUCACAGUGAGCACAGUGAUGUACAAGAACAAGAGCGUAGCGACGAACUCAGCAAUGAUGGCUCUAUAAAACGACCAUUUUCCGAACUCCUCCGGAUCGAUUAAUGGUGUUGGCGGUGGGUCUUGGUAGUCCUUGGCAGCAAACCCUCCAACUUCAAUAUCGCGGCCCAUGGCUAUAAUAACAAGCUUGGUUGAUCGAGGUAGAAUCAGACGGAGGAAGAGAGUAGUGAGUGAGUGUUGUGUUGGCUUUGAAAAAGAUUGUUAGUGUUUGUGAUGAGAAAGUGUGGAGAACUGAGGGGUUUAUAUGGGAGGUUUUUCUUGGAGUCGAGUGAAAGUGGAGUAGGAUUAUUAAACUUGUGCAUUUGCCGUCCGAGCCUUCAAGUUCCACAAAUUUUGUUUGCCUAUCUCUUUCUAUGACCGACCUUGUCUAACGCAAGUAGUUUAAAGAUAGUUCCGGUAAGCACUACAAGUAAUCAAAUUAAGGGGUCAUCCGACUCAUUUGCGUGAGCUAUGAUUAUACUUACUAUUAUGUCCAUAUUACUCGUCAUUGGGGCAGGAAGGGACUACCGGAGAGGAGCUAAAACAACUUUCAUGACCUCAUUGACAUCAUGAAUCACCUCUCCACCACCUUGAAUCGAAUAAGUUUCCCCAAUUCUUCCCCGAAUUGAUCUCAACAUAAACUCAAACAUGAGUGAAAAAAGAAAAAAAACAAAGCAAAUUAAAUUAAAGAAUAAGUGGACGUUAUAUUCGACAUGUAUAAAUUGGUCAAAAAAAUCUGUUUACCUGUUAAAAAGUUAUGAAUUUUGUAAUUGUUCGAUCAUAGAACACUUGAGUGACCUUAAUAUACUGUGGGAGAAUUCAUCUACCUUAGUAAUAUAUACAGCGUUUGUGGUUUUGUAGUAAAAAUGUAUGAACAAAUACUACAUGAAAAUUGUGAGGUUGGUGAAAAUUGAAAAAUGGCGCGAGCAUGCAACCGACCGACCAGUCAUCACCACCGCCCCAUUCAAGUUCCAACUCAGACCAACAUCACCCUCCCAACCACUCACAUCAGGCCACGUUUCGCUUCAAUCAAUGUUCUUAGAUUAAUCACUUUGAUGAGUGUUUAUGUCCUAAUCACAUUAUCCUUAAGCAAUAAUAGACAACAAAAGACAAACUCAAUUCCAACCAAAUGUUACUAUAAGAAAAAGAAAAAGAGUGUGGCUGGUUUGAAGCCACGUGUCACGCAAAUAGAGAGUCUUCCAGAUCACUGGUGGCUCAACUUUUUAACUUCCUUGUUUUUUUGGUUAAAUUUUCAAAUUUUAAGGCUUAAAUCAUAUGUAAGAAAGAAAAAUAGCAAAAGAAACGAAACAAGUUAUAUGAUGAUCUUUUAAUUUCUCUUGAUUAUAAAACUGAGACCUGAAAAUGAGCGAAAUAAGAAGGUUUACACUUUAAUUUCAAAAUGGGACACCGCUGUGAAAGAAAACUGAGAUUGCCUAAACACGACAUCUCUUAUCUCAAUGACACCAAGACCAAAUGAGAACAUGAUGAACGACAUUGAGUUUUGUUUUGCGGUCUAAAACUCUAAUACUGUCACAUCUCGACCCUUAAAUUUUUACAUUAUUUACUAGCUUGAUUAUAAUAAGAAUUUUACCGUCUUCGUCAAUGAAGUUAUAGUUUAAUUGGUCCCUAGAGGGCUUUAGACGGACGAUUAAUUUCGGAGGAUUAUUCGUAGGAGAAAAAUAUGUCAACGGUAAAAAUGGUAAAUUUUAGCUAGUAAAAGGUAAUUUUUAUUAGAUUUAUUUUUUUCGGGGUGUUUUAUUUUGGAGUAAGUGUGGGUAUUUAGGUUUUGGACCGGUUGGGUGAGGCCCAAACCCAUCUCCCUCUCUUUCUUUUCUCUCUCUCUUUCUCCCGGUUUUCUCCCGAGCUCUCCCGACCCGGAAACUUUCCGGCCGCCGUCCGCCGCCAUCCGGCCGAGAUAGGAGGCGUGCUUGGUGUCAAAUUGAAGCUUGGAGCAUCCUCUACAAGUUUGGAUACGUGGCAGCCCGUGUCGCGUCGCCGUGAAGGAGAUCGAUUGCCGAAAAGUCACGGCUGUGCGCGGGGGCAUUCUCGGCUGAACUUCUUUUUCCGGCCACCAAUGUCACACCCCGUUCUUAAGUUAUUUUAUGGUUAUUUACCUUGGUAUUAUUUUGGUCUUUUACCGUGUUAAGUCACCGUUUACCACUUAAGGACCCUAGAGUUGACUUUUUCUUGCGUUUGAAAUUUGGGAAAACUUUCUUCAUGAAAGUCGUAGAGGACGUUUUUACGAGUUCGUUGACAUGCUAUGUGUUAAAAUCGAGGUUAACAUGAAAAAGUUAUGAAUUAAGAGAGUAAUUUUAUGAGAUGGUAAAAGGGGGUAAAUAUUAAUUGAGUAUAAUUUUUAGGUUUAAGUUUUAUGGACCGGGUGUGGGCAGCCCAACACCCCCACUCACCCCCCUCACUCCCUCACUCACUCACUCUCUCUUUUCCUCCCUUCUCUCCCGAGCCCCCAUCCCACCGAAAGUCUUCAACGCCAGCUGCCAGCCCACCCCAGUUCUGACCCCCAUCACCUCCUCUCUCUCCCCGGCCUAGCCCUCGAGCCGUUAGCCCGCCGGAAGAGGAGAAAACUCGCCGGAGACGCCGGGAAGCUUUUUGCCGAAAAUCUCACAUCCGGCCACCAUAGGUCGGAAUCUUUAGCUUAUCUUGUAGCCCUCAUCAAGGUGAGUAUUCCCUUAAAAGGAAUUAAUCUAUUUCGUUGUUGUUAUGGAAAAAUGUAUAAUUGAAGUUUUUAGGGAUUUAUGGAAGUUUUGAUUCGUUUGCCCUAGUUAGCCUUAAAAAUGGACUAAGUGCUAGUUAUGAAUGUUGUUGAGCAUGAUGAGAGGAAUAUUCUGUGAAAAUUUGAGAAGCAUUGGCCCUCGCCGGAAUCCGGCUGCCGGCCGGCACUGCCGCCCCUUAGGGGCAGUUUUUCAUGAUUUUGGGUUUGUUUUAAUGAGAGGAGUUUAAUGAAGUAUAGUUGGGAAUUUUUGAAGGAGAUUUGAUAAGGUUUGGGAUUUAUCAAUGAUAAAGGAUUUAAGCGGUUAUUCGAAUGGAAAUCCGGCAGUUGGUUUAACAGGUUUUAAAGUCUAAAAAGGUUAAAUUAUGGCUUUUGGUAAGUGCGGAGUAAUGUGAGCCUUAUUAGGUAAAAAGUGGAGAAGUUGGGAAAGAGAAAAGAAAUUAUAGGCUUCCUUUAUAUUUUAGAAAUUUUAUUAAAGUUUUGUCCUGGUUUGGAGGCUUAAUGAUUAUUUAUUGUUCAGGACGUGAGGAGGAUCAUUUGGAGGAAGCCUUGGGCCGUCGGCAAGCAUAGCCAAGCACUGUGAGUGGACUUUUGAUUUUAAUAUCAUGUAUGCGCUAAAGUUAUUUAAUUUCAAAGGCAUUUGGAGAUAUAAUAUUUUGUUGGAUUAUCGAGUUCCACUUAUUUUUUUCCGGAACUCUUGCUAAUUUUAGUUGACACGUGGGACGUGUCAAGUGUUUUAUAUUAUUUCCAUGUACAGUUGGGAACUGUACUGUGCGCUAUGAGUUUAUUAUAAUUUAUUAGGGGAAGUGUGGAUCAUUUUAUUUUAAUAUUGUGCUUCACCAUAAAAGGGUUGAUAUAUAGAUUAUUGCUAGCUAACCUUAUUAGCGGUCCUCAUCAUAUGUGAGUCGUUAUUAUAGUCUUAUUAGCGGUUCUCAUCAUAUGUGAGUAGAGCGCUUAGCGUGGGACGCUAUUAUAGCCUGGGAGGCAACCGAUCGGUAUAUAUAUAUAUUUAUUGUUAGCUAGCCAUUAUUUAGCGGUCCUCAUCAUAUGAGAGUUGAGUGCUUAGCGUGGGACGCUAUUAUAACUUUAUAAGCGUCCUCAUCAUAUGUGAGUAGAGCGCUUAGCGUGGGACACUAUUAUAGCCUGGGAGGCUCAUUGUUAUGGUGAAACCUCUUCCCUAUUCUUAUUGAUUUAUUGGGAACCAAUGGGAUUGGUUCAUUAGUUUUGUCUAUAAUUAUUUUCGGAAAGAUUUCCAAGAAUGACAUGCAUAAAAUAAAUAUUUUCUCAAUGGAAAAUAUGGGAAAAGCGUUAAAUUGAUUUCAAUGCUCUAUCAUUAAGUCCUUAUUUUUAUUAUUUAUUUUGUCCACUCACUCUAACGUUUUAAAUGCUUUCCCCUAGGCCUUUUGUUUUAAAUGCCCAGUCUGCAGAGUUCUGUUCGGCUAGGGUAGGAGGCGAGUCAUAUUUCCCACCUCAUCCAGUUUUCUCUCAUAGGUUACUAGUUAACCUACCUAUGUAUUUCCUUCUUUCCUAGUAGAUGCUCUGAAUAACCAUGAGAUGUUUUAAGUGAUAUUAAGAUUGUUUUUAUUGUGGUUGUGAAAAAGACAUAUUUGGUAUGUUUGUAUGAGAGAUUAAAUUCAUGAAAGUAUUUUGAUUUUUUUUUAUGUGAGUUGAGGUGGUGGAUGUUUAUUGGGGGAGCGGAUGGCUCCAGAAGAUGUGGAUUAAAUUGUUUUAGAAGUGUAUCGGCUUUGAUGAUUUUUCUUUCAGGUAGGGUUACUCAUUUUCAAGGGAGGUUAUGCCAAAAUUUUGGUAGAAUUUCCCUUGAGGUGGGUCCCGCAAGGUUUAUUCCGGAUUUCAAGGGGAAAUCCGGGGUAGGUCCUGACAACCAAAAUCGGAGCUACCGGUCUCGUCUUGAAGCUCUCCCUUCCAGCAGCAAACCCCUAAAAGGAUUCAUCCUAACUCGAGCUAUGUAAGGAGAAUUGAAGGUUUAAAGUUUCUAGGGUUUUUCUAGUAUGUUUUCGUUCGAUUGGCAUAGUUAGGCUUGGAAUUGGGUGUUGUGCUAGUUAGGAAAGUUGUAGAGGGAGUGGAGAGGAAGCUGCUGUUAAAAUUUGGUAGGAAUUGGAGGUUGCCGGAAUCGGCCUCCGGCCGCUGCUGCCGGCAGGGCUGGCGCCGGUUGGGAGAUUUUAAUAUUUUUAAAUUUGGAAUAUUAAGGGGAGUUUAUUGAAGUGAAUUAUGGAAUUUUUGGAUGAGUUUUGGAUAGGUUUAUGAAUUUCCGAAGUUUGGUAAUUUUGGCGGAUUAAUAAGGUAGAAUCCGGCCGUUGGAUUAAAGUCGUAUAAUCUGUGGAAGGGUGUAGUUAAGGCUGCUGGUUUUAGUGUUGAAGUGUGGACCGUAUCGAAGUUAGCCAAUGAUGAGUGUGAGUCUGGCUCUCGGUUAAUUUUGCCUAUUUUGUUUAAAUAUUGGAUUUUUAGUUGGGAAAUUAAUUUUACAUUUGGAAACAGGACGUGAGGAGGCUCAAGCAGAAGAGACUCGGAUCGACGUCAGGCUUAGGCCUAAAGUUGUGAGUGGACCUUUGUUUUAAUUAAAAAGCAUGCGAUGAAUUAUCUGUUGAUCAUUUAUUUCUUUUCUUGAGAUUUAUUUCUUUCUCGGAUAUUUGACAAUUUUCCUCCUUUGGAGAGAUCCCGAAAAUGAGAUUUUCGGUGGAUAUGUUUAUGGAUAUUAUGAGUAUAGUAUGUAUAUAAAUGCUAGCUAGCCAUACGUGCUUGGUCCAUCAUAAUGAGGUAAAAUGUCAUUAUAGCGUGACGUGAGUGUUAGACACUAGCGUCAUAACCAUAUAUGAAAACUAUUUUCUUUUCUGGUUUAUUUAGGUUUUCAUAUAGGGAGUCCACACGUAUAUAAAUACACCGUCCUCUUCGGUCAUAAUGAGGAAAAAAUUUCAUUAUGGCGCAACGUGAGACGUGAGCGUUAUGAAUCUCUAUUUUUCUAAAUUGUUUCUAGGAUUCAUACAAGGAAUCUGACGAGUGUAAAUACAUUCGAAUAUAUGAUUAUAUAUAAUUUAGCCUGAGAGGCUCUAUUUUAUUUGAGUUGGUGACUAGCCGGAGCUAGUCGUGGAAUUGACAGUUUAUGAGUUGAGCACUUUUGAGUUGCUGUAUGCAGUAUAUUUUCUUUGGAAAUUUAAAAUGGGAAUGCAUAAAUAUUUUUUUAUAAUUUAUUUUUGUCCAUUCACUCUAACGUGUUUCAAAUGUUUUCCCCUGGACCCUUCGUUUUAAAAUGCCCAGUUGGCAAGUUUGCAUAGUUGAGGUCGGGCGUACAUGAAGAAGAGGCAUAAUCAAUAGUAUAGCUUCUGCUCAUUUCUAAAUUUCUAAUUUUUUUCAUCUUAGUUAGAAUUGCUCUGAACCUAUAAAUGGUUGGUUAUGAGAUUUGUUUAAAGUUAGUAUUUAAUUUGGGUGGUGUUGUGAUUUGGGGAGCACGAAGGCUCCAAAAGUUUAUGGUUGGAUUUAAAUUUUCAGAAGUGUUUACAGGUUUUAUUAGGAAUGGUUGUCCAUUUUCAAGAGAGGUUAUGCCGAAUUUUCGGUAAACUUUCCUUGGAGGUGGUCCUCGCAGGAUUUACUUCGAGUUUCAGGGUGAAAUUCGGGGUGGGUCCUGACAAAUACACACUUAGUUGGGCUUUUACUUGUUGGGCUUGCAAGACUCUGUCAACCCAAUUAAUCUUCCGGUCAACUGAUCAGGCCUUGCUAUGAGCAUAAUAAUUUAUCGGUAAAUUAUUAUCGUUAUAAUUUCUCCUUUAAGCACACCUUGAAUUCGAGACAUAUACGAAUAUACCUAAAAAUCACUUAAUCAAAACAAUCGUGACAUAAUAGAUUUGAAUGUUUGGCAAAUAACUACAUGUACAGGUCUACAGUGAUACAUUUUCCAUGUUCAAACCUAAUUCAUGCUAGAUAUGAGGAUUUGUUACCAACAUAAAUUUCAUUUCGUGCUUUCCACAUGCAUAAUAAUGCUAUAAAUGCAGUCCUUCUCCAACAUCUCAAAUGCUUUCUUUAGGAUAAUGUGCAAUAAGUUAUUGGAGGAAGUUAAGCAUAUACUUAUGAGACUAUAGUUUUCAACCACAAUUGAAAACUAAGAAAAUCAUACAUCAUAUUAUAAAAGCCGAUGUAGUAUGAACAACACCAGUAUGCAUAUGCUCAUCAACUGUCAUCUCUGUUGAUUUGAUUGUUUGAUGCAUGUACAUGGUAAUAGCUGGAUUCCUAUCUAAGACCUUAUAGAGAAGUAAUUUUUGGAAUUACUAGCAAAUACAAAAUCAUAUACUAAGUAAGGCGCUAAGUUUAUUGGAGUAGGAUUAUCAGUUUGCAUUAGGUAUAUGCUGUCACAUCCCGACCCUUAUAUUUUUACCUUAUUUACUAGCGUGAUUAUAAUAAGAAUUUUACCGUCUCCGUCAUUGAGUAAAUAGUUUAAUUGGUCCCUAGAGGGGUUUCGGGGACGAUUAUGUGCGGAGGAUUAUUCGUAUGAGGAAAAUACGACGACGGUAAAAAUAGUAAAUUUUAGCUAGUAAAAGGUAAUUUUUAUUCGGGUAUUAUUUUUCGGGGUGUUGAAUUUUGGAAUUUUGGGUUAAAAGGAGAGUUGGGUCGGCUGGGCCGAGCCCAACCCAUUUCUUCUUCCUUUCUCUCUCUCUCCCUCCCGAUUUUUCUUCUCUUCCCACCCGGUUUUUCUCCUUUCUCCACCCGGAAAGUUCUCCACCGCCGUCCGCCGCCGUCCGGCCGCCCCAGACCGCCACACCGGUCCCAAUCGAUCGGUCUCCCUCCCAGCAACAUUUCNNNNNNNNNNNNNNNNNNNNNNNNNNNNNNNNNNNNNNNNNNNNNNNNNNNNNNNNNNNNNNNNNNNNNNNNNNNNNNNNNNNNNNNNNNNNNNNNNNNNNNNNNNNNNNNNNNNNNNNNNNNNNNNNNNNNNNNNNNNNNNNNNNNNNNNNNNNNNNNNNNNNNNNNNNNNNNNNNNNNNNNNNNNNNNNNNNNNNNNNNNNNNNNNNNNNNNNNNNNNNNNNNNNNNNNNNNNNNNNNNNNNNNNNNNNNNNNNNNNNNNNNNNNNNNNNNNNNNNNNNNNNNNNNNNNNNNNNNNNNNNNNNNNNNNNNNNNNNNNNNNNNNNNNNNNNNNNNNNNNNNNNNNNNNNNNNNNNNNNNNNNNNNNNNNNNNNNNNNNNNNNNNNNNNNNNNNNNNNNNNNNNNNNNNNNNNNNNNNNNNNNNNNNNNNNNNNNNNNNNNNNNNNNNNNNNNNNNNNNNNNNNNNNNNNNNNNNNNNNNNNNNNNNNNNNNNNNNNNNNNNNNNNNNNNNNNNNNNNNNNNNNNNNNNNNNNNNNNNNNNNNNNNNNNNNNNNNNNNNNNNNNNNNNNNNNNNNNNNNNNNNNNNNNNNNNNNNNNNNNNNNNNNNNNNNNNNNNNNNNNNNNNNNNNNNNNNNNNNNNNNNNNNNNNNNNNNNNNNNNNNNNNNNNNNNNNNNNNNNNNNNNNNNNNNNNNNNNNNNNNNNNNNNNNNNNNNNNNNNNNNNNNNNNNNNNNNNNNNNNNNNNNNNNNNNNNNNNNNNNNNNNNNNNNNNNNNNNNNNNNNNNNNNNNNNNNNNNNNNNNNNNNNNNNNNNNNNNNNNNNNNNNNNNNNNNNNNNNNNNNNNNNNNNNNNNNNNNNNNNNNNNNNNNNNNNNNNNNNNNNNNNNNNNNNNNNNNNNNNNNNNNNNNNNNNNNNNNNNNNNNNNNNNNNNNNNNNNNNNNNNNNNNNNNNNNNNNNNNNNNNNNNNNNNNNNNNNNNNNNNNNNNNNNNNNNNNNNNNNNNNNNNNNNNNNNNNNNNNNNNNNNNNNNNNNNNNNNNNNNNNNNNNNNNNNNNNNNNNNNNNNNNNNNNNNNNNNNNNNNNNNNNNNNNNNNNNNNNNNNNNNNNNNNNNNNNNNNNNNNNNNNNNNNNNNNNNNNNNNNNNNNNNNNNNNNNNNNNNNNNNNNNNNNNNNNNNNNNNNNNNNNNNNNNNNNNNNNNNNNNNNNNNNNNNNNNNNNNNNNNNNNNNNNNNNNNNNNNNNNNNNNNNNNNNNNNNNNNNNNNNNNNNNNNNNNNNNNNNNNNNNNNNNNNNNNNNNNNNNNNNNNNNNNNNNNNNNNNNNNNNNNNNNNNNNNNNNNNNNNNNNNNNNNNNNNNNNNNNNNNNNNNNNNNNNNNNNNNNNNNNNNNNNNNNNNNNNNNNNNNNNNNNNNNNNNNNNNNNNNNNNNNNNNNNNNNNNNNNNNNNNNNNNNNNNNNNNNNNNNNNNNNNNNNNNNNNNNNNNNNNNNNNNNNNNNNNNNNNNNNNNNNNNNNNNNNNNNNNNNNNNNNNNNNNNNNNNNNNNNNNNNNNNNNNNNNNNNNNNNNNNNNNNNNNNNNNNNNNNNNNNNNNNNNNNNNNNNNNNNNNNNNNNNNNNNNNNNNNNNNNNNNNNNNNNNNNNNNNNNNNNNNNNNNNNNNNNNNNNNNNNNNNNNNNNNNNNNNNNNNNNNNNNNNNNNNNNNNNNNNNNNNNNNNNNNNNNNNNNNNNNNNNNNNNNNNNNNNNNNNNNNNNNNNNNNNNNNNNNNNNNNNNNNNNNNNNNNNNNNNNNNNNNNNNNNNNNNNNNNNNNNNNNNNNNNNNNNNNNNNNNNNNNNNNNNNNNNNNNNNNNNNNNNNNNNNNNNNNNNNNNNNNNNNNNNNNNNNNNNNNNNNNNNNNNNNNNNNNNNNNNNNNNNNNNNNNNNNNNNNNNNNNNNNNNNNNNNNNNNNNNNNNNNNNNNNNNNNNNNNNNNNNNNNNNNNNNNNNNNNNNNNNNNNNNNNNNNNNNNNNNNNNNNNNNNNNNNNNNNNNNNNNNNNNNNNNNNNNNNNNNNNNNNNNNNNNNNNNNNNNNNNNNNNNNNNNNNNNNNNNNNNNNNNNNNNNNNNNNNNNNNNNNNNNNNNNNNNNNNNNNNNNNNNNNNNNNNNNNNNNNNNNNNNNNNNNNNNNNNNNNNNNNNNNNNNNNNNNNNNNNNNNNNNNNNNNNNNNNNNNNNNNNNNNNNNNNNNNNNNNNNNNNNNNNNNNNNNNNNNNNNNNNNNNNNNNNNNNNNNNNNNNNNNNNNNNNNNNNNNNNNNNNNNNNNNNNNNNNNNNNNNNNNNNNNNNNNNNNNNNNNNNNNNNNNNNNNNNNNNNNNGAGAGAGAGAGAGAGAGUUAAUAUCGGGAAAAAAAAGGAGAAAAAGAGUUAAAUUAGGGUGAGGGUAUUGACGUCCUUUUAUUAGAAUUCAUUGAAAUGAGGUUGGUAAAGAUUUUCAUUGGAAUGGGCAAUAAACCUUUAAAAUUAGUACUAAAGUGUCAUUUACUCAAAUAUUUAUAGUCAAAAGAUGGGGCUUGGGCCUUAGGCUCUAUUGAUUAAAAUCUGUUUUUAACUUCUGAAAUAUUUUUGGAAAUUAAAAUUGGAUAAGACCAAAAUAACUGUUGGAGAACAGUUACAACUGUAUCGGCAAAUGCAACUGUUCGAUUUUGACUUUAUAGAUAGGGCAACAUUGUUGUCGUCGUUCCCAUCAAAACAUACAUCGCUCUUCUUCUUCCUCCCCUAUUCUUAUUUCAGAAAAGCAUACUGUAAAUUCACCAAAGACAAGUUCUUGUGCAAGAACUUGUACCUAUCUUCAAGAUAGACGUCUGAAACUGCAGCAUAAAUGGGGGCGAAUUUCUGUCUUAGGUCACUGCAUUGCAGGCCUCUAUCUAAUCAAAUUAGUGAAUUUCAAUUGUGUCUUAUUGUUGUUUGUAUGUUCAAUUUGAUUAUUG